This 69092-nucleotide long non-coding RNA is filed under the name Triticum aestivum (bread wheat). RNAcentral describes it as "long non-coding RNA (TAES_LNC002319)". Lineage: Eukaryota; Viridiplantae; Streptophyta; Magnoliopsida; Poales; Poaceae. The record is from RNAcentral.
GAGAAAACACUUCCAUUUUUCUAGAUAGAGCUUUGAGCCGCAACAUCCGCCUUCCGCUCUUGCAAUGGCUUCCAGCUCCGUGCUUAAGAUGGCCGCCAUUUUCGUGCUGGCCGUAUUCGCCGGCCAGGCACUGAUGGCUACGCCGGCGAUGGCAGAAGGACUAGGUUACCGACACAACCUUUUGGAGAAGUACGAUGAGACGCAAUGUCGCGGAUACGCCACAUGCAAUAUUGUAUGCUUCUACCAAGUUUUUCAAGUCUGCAUCAUCUACAGCCCUGUUGCAUUCUGCAACACUUGGGCGUUUGGGUUCUGCAAGGACAAGAGAUACUGAGGCAUAAAUAACAGUGCAGCUCCUUUUGGGAUGCAUGCACAACUACACGAGCAACUCACCUCAUCAGUGUCAACUAUUAUUGUUCCUUCGUUAUUGGCGCUGUGCGUCGUAAGAGUCCUAAUAUGUUCCUCCCUUUAUUUCCAACUAUCAUGUAUCAGUGGCUUAACCAACUAUUUAAUUCCUAUAUUGUCUGUCAUCAUGGUACUUGUUCAACUAAAAAUCCCCCGUCGAAUACAAAUGUAUGUGUCGUGUGACUAUAAAAUGGUUCCGCCACUGCAACAUUUUUCAGUCCAUGAUGGCCAUAUAAGCAUGCUCUUUCCACCCUUACCCAUGAAUCUUUUUUCAUGAAUGACCAUUCGUUUGACAGAUUUGGCAUGUGGUUCGACAAAAUGCCAUAAAAAAUAAAGGAUGCAAAAAUAUAAUAAGGGAGCUUGAAGCUGAAUUGGCACUAACCUUGUAAAUACUUUUCGUAGUGGACAAGACAAAUACUACAUAGGCCAUCGCCACACCCAGUUUCGCACGAUCAUCGCAGAUGAUGCGAUGUUUGACAACAUAUACAUUCUAAACGGACACUCAGGGCCCACAAGGCAUAGAGGGGGAGGUCAUAAGCGCCUAUACCGUAAAAUAGAUUUUCGACGGAAUCAAAAAGACAUAUCUGGUAGAAUCGUAACCAUAGAAUACGACCCUAAUCGAAAUGCAUACAUUUGUCUCAUAGGGUGACCAGCGUUGCUUCCAUGUUAAUCCGGGCCCAUAGGGUACGAAAGUUUCUCCUUCUGUGAGUCCCUAUCACGUGGAACCCACAUCAACUGCCGUGAUUGCAUUGGCUUUCAGGGACCGAAUACAUCGAAUCGGGGUUUUCGAGCGGUCUCUCCUUAUUUACCUUGAGUACCCCAAACCCAUUGAGGUCACUUGCUGACGCUCUCUAGUAGUCGUCCAGGUGCUUGGGUCAUCCUUCUUCUGGCUAGUCGCUUUGGCAUCGAUCCUUUGGACAUUUGCUUCAAUCCCCCAAGAACGUCUUUCACUGCCCCUACCACAGAUGCUACCGAAAAGAGUUCCGACAUUGAGCAAGUAUUUUCUUGGACUAUCCCGAUCAAACAUCUCUCAUGCCUCAUUCUACCUUUGAAAACUGAAAUUAUAUCCAGGUACGAUAGAUCCGUGGGAAGUCAUUCCUUUGCCUCAGAAAUCCGCAAUUCCCAGAUGAAAAAUCCUAUUUCAAGCUCCUCUAGUUUCUUAAACCAGCACUAUUUCCUUUUCCAGCAGGGAUACUCCUGAAAAAGGGCUUCCGUUCAAAGUGGAAAGAAAGAGACCUGUCCGUUCUCCCUAUUUGCCUAGCGGUUAAGUAGAAUGUAGGGCCCCUCCUAGGCCACGCAACCAAGAGUCACUUGUCGAAAGUUGACCAGGAAGACAAUAACUAUUGAGGCUGGAAUAGAUAGAUGACACUCUAAAAUGUUUCACCUUCUUCUAUGGUCAUUCUUAUUUUCAUGAAGCUCACAUGUAAGCUUCGUCAGGCUUGUGGACAUCACAACGCCCAUUCACAUGUAUCUCUUCAACAUGCAAGCACUUCGUUAGGGCCGCUGUUUUUUUGGAAGUGGGUUCACUGUUUACGCCUCCAUGGAAUUGGCUAGCUCGAAGAGUCCCCAGAUGACGUCGAGUUGCUCCUGGCACCCAGCUAGGCAUGAUCUAUGGUUCUCUCCUCAUUCCCAGUGAUGUGAUAAAUGAUUGGGACCGUUCACCUAGAACGGAAAAUCAUUGAAGGGGACUGAGGAAGGAGUUGGGCGUUUCCUAACUUCCAUUGCCAGAGUGGUUUUUUUACACCAGGGGACGUGCCACCUACAUUGCACCCAUGAUAAUCACUAAAAUCGACAAAAAAUAUCUAAAUAAUUUGAAUUUGCGGGCUCGGCUGUGACCAAUUGUUUAGGGUGCUUAUUUGGUGGCCAAAUGACAUCUGAGGAGCUCUUUACAUAAAAAUGUAUCAAAUUUUGUCCUGAAAGUUAUGUAAGCAUAGUUUGAGCAGAAGUUGUAUUUUGUAUAUAUGAAGCUCAUUUGAUACUAUUUGUUCACCAAACUAUGCGAGCACCUAAAACACUUGUUCAAUAAUGCCCCAAAGUUUUUUUUUCUAUUUGUUAUGAUUUACUCUUCAGCGUGGGUAAAUUGCACUUUGGUGUAGCCACAACUUUUCCUUCCCAUCCCGCAUAUCUGAUGGUAGCAAGCUCGGUGUACAUCUUCACCCAUGGUGAGUAAACAACUCCUUGGUUGGCCGCUCCACCUAGAUAUGUGUCGCCAAAAGCAACUCCAGAUGUUCCUGUAGCUGAAGUGACGACCAGAUAUGAACCCCGUGGAUACUUGAACAUAUAACUUGGAGAGGAGAAUAUAUCUUCUUUCAUCAAAUAUCACAUUAUUUCUACGUAACUACACUGACUAUCAAAUUUUGCAUUCGUUAUAUAUUUCUCUCAAACAUCAUCUACACAACUAAUGAAUCAACUGGGAUGCAACAUGCAUACAUCUAAUUAGCUCGUGGUAAUUGUUUAAAUAUGUCAAGUUCAAUCAAUGAAUCUUUUUUCAUGAAUGACCAUUCGUUUGACAGAUUUGGCAUGUGGUUCGACAAAAUGCCAUAAGAAAUAAAGGAUGCAAAAAUAUAAGGGAGCAUGAAGCUGAAUUGGCACUAACCUUGUUAAUAUUUUUCGUAGUGGACAAGACAAAUACUACACAGGCCAUCGCCACACCCAGUUUCGCUAGCUCAUCGCAGAUGAUGCGAUGUUUAACAACAUAUACAUUCUAAACGGACACUCAAGGCCCAUAGGGUGACCAGCGUUGCUUCCAUGAUAAUAUGGGCCCACAGGGUAUGAAAGUUUUUCUUCUGUGAGUCCCUAUCAUGUGGAACCCACGUCAGCUGUCGUGAUUGCGUUGGCUUUCAGCGACCGAAUACAUCGAAUCGGGGUUUUCGAGCAUUCUAUCCUUAUUUACCUUGAGUACCCCAAACCCAUUGAGGUCGCCUGCCGACGCUCUCUAGUAGUCGUCCAGGUGCUUGGGUCAUCCUUCUUCUGGCUAGAGUCGCUUUGGCAUCGAUCCUUUGGACAUUUGGUUCAAUCCCCCAAGAGCGUCUAUCACUGCCCCUACCGCAGAUGCUACCGAAAAGAGUUCUGGCAUUGAGCGAGCAUUUUCUUGGACUAUCCUGAUCAAACAUCUCGCAUGCCUCAUUCUACCUUUGAAAACUGAAAUUUUAUCCAGGUACAAUAGAUCCGUGGGAAGUCUUUCCUUUGCCUCAGAAACCCGCAAUUCCCAGAUAGAAAAUCCUAUUUCCCGCUCCUCUAGUUUCUUAAACCAGCGCUGUUUCUAUUUCCAGCAGGGAUACUCCCGAAAAAAGGGCUUCCAUUCAAAGUGGAAAGAAAGAGACCGGUUUGUUCUCCCUCUUUGCCUAUCAGUUAAGUCGAUUGUAGGUCCCCUCCCAGGCCUCGCAACCAAGAGUCACUUGUCGAAAGUUGACCAAGAAGACAAGAACUAUCGAGGCUGGAAUAGAUAGAUGAAACUCUAAAAUGUUUCACCUUCUUCUAUGGUCAUUCUUAUUUUCAUGAAGUUGAAAUUGUGCUCGCACAUGUAAGCUUAAUCAGGUUUGUGGACGUCACAACCCCCAUUGUCCUGUAUCUCUUCAACAUGCAAGCACUUCGUUAGGGCUGGUGUUUUUUUUGGAAGUGGGUUCACUGUUUACGCCUCCAUAGAAUCCGGCUAGCUCAAAGAGUCCCCAGAUUACGUCGAGCUGCUCCUGGUACCUUGCUAGGCACGAUCUAUGGUUUUCUCCUCAUUCCAGUGAUGUCAUAAAUGAUUGGGACCGUUCACCUAGAACGGAAAAUCAUUGAAGGGUAGUGAGGAAGGAGUUGGGCGUUUCCUAACUUCCAUUGCCUACACCAGGGGACGUUCCACUUACAUUGCACCCAUGAUAAUCACUAAAGUCGAAAAAAUAGCUAAAUAAUUUGAAUUUGCGGGCUCGGCUGCGACCAAUUGUUUAGUGUGCUUAUUUGGUGGCCAAAUGACAUCCGAGGAGCUCUUUACAUAUAAACAUAUCAAAUUUGGUCCUCAAAGUUAUGUACGCAUAGCUUGAGCAAAAGUUGUAUUUUGUAUAUAUGAAGCUCAUUUGAUAAUAUUUGGUCACCAAACUAUGCAAGCACCUGAAACACUUGUUCAAUAAUGCCCCAAAGUUUUUUUCUAUUUUUUAUGAUUUUACUCUUUAGCGUGGGUAAAUUGCACUUCGGUGUAGCCACAACUUUUCCUUCCUUUCCCGCAUCUCUGAUGGUAGCAAGCUCGAGGUACCGGUCAGGAGUUUUUAGCUGGAAGGAUGUGGCGAUCGUGACUCCAAGGUCAUAUCUAUCCAGGGGUACUAUUCUGGGGACAAAGCCAUUAGGAGUCGCUUUUGACCGUGAUCCUUUUGACCAGUUAUCGCAAUGCCCAAACUUUGCUACAUUAACAUACAUGAAUUUGUAUGACAGUGGGAAGUAACAUCGAAUUAUGAAAAUGAUACAGGGAGACAAUCUUCCCCUUUCGGCCCCCACCAUGCAAAUAACAACCUUACUCCUACUUGUCUAGAAUUAUAUGUAUCAACAGGUAUAGUGUGUGUGAGGGGGUGAGGGGGAUCCUGCGAGCCUUGUACACUAGGUUUCUAGCACAUUUGGUGACCAGUCUUGACCAGAUGUGCAAGUUCAGAUCUAGUCUAUGUCUGAAGCUAGGGCUUCCAUUCAGUCAUCUUGGCCCUCCAAGCAGAAGUUGUCACCUCUUGUUCAGGUGCUAAUGUAUUUAUAAAUGGUUUGGGGUCAGAUGGACGCCUUCCUUUCCUAGCCUUCCGUUCGUGAAAAGCUUUAUAAUUCCACUGUCAUGACAUGUCCUCCCUCCUUUAAAGGAGUUCCUGGGGUACCCGUCAUCCUAAUUUCACUGCUAGGAGUGACCCUCCGUGGGAGUUGGUUUGACAUUCAUGAAAGUUUCCUUGAGGCUUACACGGCUUGGCAUGGGCCCGAUCCACCUCUUUCCUACAACAUAUGACCUAGGAGCUGUCGACAGGCUGCGCAAGUGCGGAAGAAACUGGAUCGAGAAGCUGCCGGUGGUUCUUUGGUCGAUCAGAACGACGCCAAAUCGAGCCACUGGCCAGACGCCUUUCGCUCUAGUCUAUGGAGCAGAGGCAGUUCUCCCCACGGAACUCGUAUACGGAUCGCGUCGAGUGCUCGCUUAUGAUGAGCUUGAGCAAGAACAGCUGCGACAAGACGACGCGCUGCUCCUUGAGGAAGAUCGUCUUCAGGCUGCUGUACGAGCUGCUCGAUACCAGCAAGCUUUGCGCCGCUACCAUAGCCACAAAGUUAAAGCCAGAAGCUUCGAGGAAGGCGACCUUGUUCUUCGGCGUGUUCAGUCCGCCAAGAAUUCCAACAAGUUGACGCCGAAGUGGGAAGGCCCUUAUCGGGUGAAACGAGUCACAAGGCCCGGCGCUGUCCGCCUUGAGACCGAAGAUGGCAUUCCGGUGAGCAACUCCUGGAACAUAGAACAUCUUUGUAAGUUUUUCCCGUAGGGCGCGGUUGCCGGAACCCGUUCCGGCAACCACCUUUUGUACAAGUCUUGCCGCUGUUGCAUGUAAUCCUUUAUACAAAGCCGAGCGCAGAUCCCGUGCAUAAAUAAAACCCCAUGUGCUCCGCACAACUUGUCCAUUUCAUGCAUUAGUUUCUUUCUUGCAUGCGUAUCUGACACUUUGUGCAGCACCUACAUCCGAUAAGCAAUAACGAGCCGAAGGGUUCCAUAUCAUUAUUUUCUCUUCUUUCUUAUUUUCAACAAAGGAAAAGAAGGAUCCCUUGCACACAAGUUUGCCGGGGGGGAAGGAGAAGAUUGUGGUAUGGACCAGGCGUCGUUCAAGAAAAGUUUUGCCUUGCCGGGAAGCAAACGACAGAAAAACUAAGUUGCCAAAGUUUGAGCAAUCAGUUUUUAAAUUUUUGAGUUAUUUUCCUCGAACGACCCCGCUUUGUAUGGAAAACCUGUGCGCGGAGGGACCAACUCGUGGCUAGUUGCGCCCUUACUUUGUUUCGAGUCCGCUCAACAACUUAAGUGUGCUGCAUCUAGUCGCGACAAGGUUUCUUGUCGGAAGCAGCGCUGCCAGCAGGCUGCUGAAGUUCCGCACCCAGCGCUCGCGGCUCGGGUGCCUGCGCCGACAAGUUCCCUAGAAGGGUAGGGUAAAAACAUACAAAGGAAGGAAUCUAGUAGAGGAAAUAACAUAGCAAUUGAUAACAGAAAUAAAGUUAUAUUACAAGAUAACUUGUCGCAGCUCUAACAGACUGUUUUCAUAACAUGAUUAGCAGCGACAAGGGAAAAGAAGAAAUGGGCAGCCUAGUCUACGCGUCCGCCCUCGACCCUCUUGAUCUCACUCACCUUGUCCACAAUGGGUGCGACAAGGGCCUUGAGCGCAUCCAGAUCAGCGUCAGGUGGCAAGGACCUGAGGACGUUGGUAAGGUUGAGGCCUGGGUUGCGGAAGGCCACCUUCAUCAGCACCUUCUGGAGAGCCCUCGUGCAAAUCCUGCGCGACUCGUCGGCCAGCUGCUUUGGGAUCCUCUCCCGGAGCCGCUGGAGUGCCGUCGCCACGCCCUUGAAGAACAUGCUGAGCUUGGCGCUGGGUUGGAGAUUCUCGUCGGAGGGAUACCCAAAGUCCUCCAUCCCCAGCUGCGCCAGCUCCUCGUCGAUGACUGCGGCAAUAUUCACCAGACCCUCGGUCCAGUGCUCCACAGUAUCUCUGAACGAGUUCUGGGUAACUGCGAUGCUCUCCAGCAGCGCCUUGUCAGCUUUGACCUUCUCUGACAAGGUCUUCUCCCGCUCCUUGGCGGCCUCCAGCGUCUGCAUCAGCGUGGCCAGCUUCAACUCUAGGACCGCAUUGGAAUCCUUGGCGGCGCUGAGCUCCUUGCCCCUCUCAGCGAGAAGACCUUGCAGCUCACCGUGGGCGGCAGCAUCCUUCUCACGCUCACGCUUGAGCGCGGCAAGCUCCUCGCCGCUCUUCUCGAUGUUGGCCUCCAGCUGCGCCACCUUCUCCUCCAGCUCUUUUGUGGCAGCCUCUGUGAUUGCGGCAGCGUCCUUUGCCUCUUUGAGCACCCCGCCAAGUGCUUGCUCGCGCUCGGCGAGCUCCUCCUUGUAGCAGUCGAGGUUGGCCUUCCGCUGCACCAAUUCGCCUUCUCGCGCGGACUGCUUCUCGGCGGCCAGCCUUUGUUCCUCCUCAGCUUCGGCCUUCUCGAGAAGGAAGGCCGUGCGCUCCUCGUCGAGUCGCUCCCGCUCAUGUGCCAGGGACCGGAGAGCUUCUUGAUUGUGGCCCCGGUGUUCCUUCGCACGCUUCUCCAUGUCAACUCCCGCCUUCGCGACAAGCGCUUCCCGGGAAGCCAGCUUGGCUUGCCGUGCGCGGUAGAGUGACAGCAGCUUCCGCAGCAGCUGCUCCUCCUCAAGCUCGCCACUGCUGCUGCUGGGCGCGUCGACCAACGACAGUCCAGCAGAGGCGAGCACCUCCUCAUAGAAAGUUUCCCCCUCGACCGGUGCCCUGGAGCUCGAAGACCAGGGUAGCUUGAUGAAGAUAUCGUCACCGGCCUUCAAGUAGGCGCCGGGCUGGCGCUCGUUGGAGCCCGGCUUCGCAGAAGCGGCAGAGGGAUCGGCGGUUGGCGCAGCGCCUGGCGCUCCUGCGGCCUCUGGGUCGUCAGUGCGAUCGCCCGACCCCUCGCCGGCUUCUACGGCGGCAGCCUUGGCGGCCUCCUCGCCGGCGGUCUCAUCAGCACCGGCCCCUUCCUCGCCAGCGCCCUCUGUCUCCAUUGGCUCAGCAGCAGAUGGGUCUGAAGAACGAAGAAGGGAGAAAAAUCAAUCAAAAAUCCAAGAGAAGAAAAUCAGAAGAAGAAGAACCCAAGGGAAAGUUUUUGGGCAAGUGAAUUACCUAUGCCAAGAUCUGCAGUUGCGGUCUCGGCCGCCGCAGGAUCGGCGGUGCUGCCCCUUGCCGGAGAGUUCUCCCUUGCCGGAGAGCGCUCCCUUAUCGGGAACUCCUCCCUUAGCGGCACAGUCGAAGCAGAUGGCACUUCGGGACCAGCUUCCAGGCGCUCCUGAUAUGGCUGCUCUGCUCCUACACAAAUCAACAAGCAAGAUAUCAACAAAGGAAAAAGCACUCAUGCGCGCUUGACAGCAGAAAGCUAACUAUGAACUUACGCUGGGGGCUGUUUUGAGGAGUGGUUGCCGGGUCCGUCAAGGUGGUCUCGGACCCACCCCCUGCUGACACGGUGGGGUCAUCUUCGAUGACAAUCACCGCGGCCUUGGCCCUCUUCGCCGCUCUCUGGGCCAGCAUCCUGAAAAGAAAGGAGUCCAGAUUGAAGCAGGUCAGAUACAAGAUAAAAACAGCAAGAUUGAAGAACUACAAGAGCACCAAGGAAACUUACUCUUCUUCCUCCUCGUCGGAGCUGAGCGCAGAAAGAUCAAAGUCUGGCUCCCUUCCGGUGCGGCGAGGCGGAGCAGCAGGAUCCCUUGCCCGCUUGGCGGGGGCGGUGGCGGUGGCCCGGGAAGAUCCCGCUCCAGUUGCCGCUGCUGCGUGGGGCGCUCCCGCGGUAACAUUGCUUGCCGCGGUAGAGCAUGCGCACGGCUUGGCGGCUGUUGACCCGGCUGCCGCCCCGCUACGUCCGCGGCCCUACGAAGACGCCUUCUUGGCGGGGCCGGGGGCUCCGCCUGCGGCAAGCCUUCUGAAGGCUCGGGCUCUUCCUUGCCGGCCUCGCUCGGCUCAGCUUCAGAACCGGCAGGCUCUUCCUCGCCAAUGAACUCCGUGUGCUCGGCGAGGUUUGCCGCCUCUGCAGCCUCCGCCUCCUCCACAGUGAACCCGAACGCGCCCGCGGCAGCUGCGGCCGCAACCUCUUCCGCCCUAGUGGUGAUGCGCUGCAGCUCCUCAUCGGUGGUGUCACGGGUGAGGCUCUUCUGAUCGUCAGCGUGGACCGGCACUUCUUCCAAGUUGUCGAAGAACGCUUGCACGACGUCAUCUGCAGGCUCUUGCCAAGUUGGAACGAUCCCGUGUGAAUCGCACAACGGCAUCAUGGCGCGGAUCCGGUCAACCGAAGAAUUAUUGCACAAUGGAAUGACGCCCCUCGGCAGCGUGAAUGGGUGCUGGGGGUCGCGUUUGAACAACUCCAGGAGCAUUGCAUCCAGCUCCAAGACGGUGAAGUUGUAGUUGAGGCCCGGCCGCAGCCUCAUGAUGUCUGCCGAGUUCUUGAAUUCCCAGGCGGGCCUCCCCCUCUCCUGCAGGGGGGCGAUGCGGCGGCGGAGGAAAUCUGCGCCUACAGCGCCUACAGUGAGCCCGGCAAGCCUGAGGCGAAGGAUCCUAGUAAUGGCGAUCUUCGGCCUCUCGUCUUCCGGGGCCACAUUGCUCCAGUCAUUGCCGCGCACUAUUGGAGCUUGGCGCACGGCGGUGAAGGGCUGCGGAUUCUCCUCGACGAUCCAGCACCACUCCGCCCUCCACUCCUCCCACUUGCUGCGGAGCUCACCCUCCAAGUACGCCUCCUUCUUGCCGACUCUCGAGAUCCAGGCGAUCCCACCGGCAAGCGGCUCUCCUCUCUCUACCCGAGGUAUGAAGAAGUGGCGGAAAAGGGCAACAUUGGGGUAGACUCCGACAAAGUUUUCGCACAAAUGUGCGAAAACUGCCAUGGUCAGAACGACGUUGGGGGUGAAGUCAAGGAGGCGGAAGCCGUAGGUGUUCAUGAUAUCGCAGAAGAACUCCGAGAAGGGCGGGCAGAGCCCGCAAUAGAAGAACAGCGCGAAGAAUGGGUACCCGUUUGGAGCCAGUUCUGAAGCAGCGGCCAGGAGUACCCUCGUGCGCGGAUGCGCCCGCGUCUCCGUCGCCCAAAAGAGGUAGAAGUACUCCCUCAGCUCCUUCACGCCGAGCUGGGGGGAGAAGAUCACCCGCUCCUUUCGCAGCGCCGCGAGCCGCUGCGCCUCGGCCGACUUCACGCCCUUUCCCUUGUCGGCUUUCGGAGCCAUGGCGGAGGUGGUGGGGGAGGUCGACGGCAUUAGUGAUGCUGGUGGCAAUGGGGGGCGGAGCGCUGCUCUCUCGGCUUCGAGAAGAAGAGGGGGGGGGGCGGCGGAGGUUCGUGAAGAUGGAGUAGUAGCAACCAGCGAGGGGGAAAGAACUGCCCCUGUUUCCUCUGCUUAUAAAGAGGGACGGGGCGGACGUUUCGCCCUUCCGAAUAAAGAACCACCCACGAUCUCUCCCACGAUGCCGCAUUCAACGCGUGCCGUUAGGGGAGAGCGCGGUGGACACGGAGCGAGAUUCGGCGUGGCCCAGUCCACAUGUGCCCGUGCCCUGUCUUGGGCCUGGCCCAACAGCGCUCGGCACCGUGUCUGGCCCAGGCCCGGGGGAUCCUGUCGGUGUACUAGAAUAGGGGUACCCUAGUACCCCGAACUUGUGCACGGGCAGUUGCAGCACCCCGCGGCCAGGCUUGCCGGGCUAACACCAAGAUCCUCCGUGGUUCCCUUGGAGCCAUUCAAGAACAAAGUAUUUAAGCUCAGGAGACAAGGCCCCGGCAAGAGGAGCAUGCCGGGAAGGCAUACCGAGGCACUCCAAGGAACUUGCCGCGACGCGCCACGCGCUCCGGCAAGGCAACAAGGCCCCGGCAAGAGGAGCUUGCCGGGAAGACUAACCAAGGUACCUCGAGGCCCGGUGAGCGACAAGCUUCCGGACCCGACAAGAUAACAGCAGCGGCAAGGCGCUUGCCGCGGCAGGCGGCCACUCUGUGCCCACGCUCCAGCGCAUCCACCAACGUGUCGCUCUGGGGGCCUCUCCAGGCGCGCGUGGCGGGAGGCUGUGCAGCCAGCGGUACGCAGUGGCAUGCGAAGCUGACAAGAUCGCCAUCGUGGCGAAUAGUGGCGCCCCUAAUGGUCCUUUUCUGCACUGUUUGGGCGACUCAGACGUGCAUUUAAUGCCCUUGUCCCCUGCCGUCAGGGUUAGGUAGGGUGCACUGUACAAGUAACUGUACCAACCACCUCACUUUUUACAUUUGUACCCUUCUCUGCGUUGCCACCUGUUGGUGACCCCUUUAGCGUAUAAAAGGAGGCCCAUGCGCAACAUAGAGGGGGGUUCGGUUCGACUGGUUCGCGAAGUUCGACUCAUUCGUAACCCAGAAAAACACUACGCUCUCUCUCUAGAGCAAGAACACAAAAUAAUCAAACAAGCAACAGUAGGAGUGUUAUCUCUCCGGAGAGCUCCGAAGNNNNNNNNNNNNNNNNNNNNNNNNNNNNNNNNNNNNNNNNNNNNNNNNNNNNNNNNNNNNNNNNNNNNNNNNNNNNNNNNNNNNNNNNNNNNNNNNNNNNNNNNNNNNNNNNNNNNNNNNNNNNNNNNNNNNNNNNNNNNNNNNNNNNNNNNNNNNNNNNNNNNNNNNNNNUGUGGAUCAGUUUCCCCCGACAUACUAUCUAUCCUAUCAACCAUAGCUAAGUUGUGAACUCUAUAACGUCAUCAAUACUUGAAUGUACUACAGUUCUGUCCUGUUUGGACUCCCGACAGAAUCAUGGUAGUUGUACAUUUUGUACUCACUGCAUGUGUCACACACCAUGAUUAUCUACUCAUUCUUAAGUGCUAAGUAUGUGUUGGGAAGAUAUCCAACUAGUUGGCUUGAUAUCGGGCACAUGCUGGGCAGUACUCCAAAGUCAACUAUAAAUCAUCAUGGGAUCAAGCUUACAUAAACAAGUAUUAUCAUGCAUGUUCGUAUGAUAGUCCAGUAUCAGCUAUGAGAUCAUGAAUGGCAAACUGGAGGGGCUAAUUUAUGAGUGCGUGUGCUUAUAAAUAGGAUCUCUAGCUAGCUAGUACUCACAUCAACACAACCACGGAAAAAAACUUCCAUUUUUCUAGAUAGAGCUUUGAGCCGCAACAUCCGCCUUCCGCUCUUGCAAUGGCUUCCAGCUCCGUGCUUAAGAUGGCCGCCGUUUUCAUGCUGGCCCUAUUCGCCGGCCAGGCGCUGAUGGCUACGCCAGUGAUGGCAGAAGAAGUAGGUAACCGGCACAACCUUUUGGAGAAGUAUGAUGAGACACAAUGUCGCGGAUACGCCACAUGCAAUAUUGUAUGCUUCUACCAAGUUUUUCAAGUCUGCAUCAUCUACAGCCCUGUUGCAUUCUGCAACACUUGGGCGUUUGGGUUCUGCAAGGACAAGAGAUAUUGAGGCAUAAAUGGCAGUGCAGCUCCUUUUGGGAUGCAUGCACAACUACACGAGCAACUCACCUCAUCAGUGUCAACUAUUGUUCCUUGGUUAUUGGCGUUGUCCGUUGUAAGAGUCCUAAUAUGUUCCUCCCUUUAUUUCCAGCUAUCAUGUAUCAGCGGCUUAGCCAACUAUUUAAUUACUUCAUUGUCUGUCAUCAUGGUACUUGUUUAACUAAAAAUGCCCCGUCGGAUACAAAUGUAUGUGUCGUGUGAUUAUAAAAUGGUUCCGCCGCUGCAACAUUUUUUGGUCCAUAAUGGCCAUAUAAGCAUGCUCUUUCUACCCUUACCCAUGAAUCUUUUUUCAUGAAUGACCAUUCGUUUGACAGAUUUGGCAUGUGGUUCGACAAAAUGCCAUAAGAAAUAAAGGAUGCAAAAAUAUAAGGGAGCAUGAAGCUGAAUUGGCACUGACCUUGUUAAUAUUUUUCGUAGUUGACAAGACAAAUACUACACAGGCCAUCGCCACACCCAGUUUCGCUAGCUCAUCGCAGAGGAUGCGAUGUUUGACAACAUAUACAUUCUAAACGGACACUCAAGGCCCAUAGGGUGACCAGCGUUGCUUCCGUGUUAAUAUUGGCCCACAGGGUAUGAAAGUUUUUCUUUUGUGAGUCCCUAUCAUGUGGAACCCACGUCAGCUGUCGUGAUUGCGUUGGCUUUCAGCGACCGAAUACAUCGAAUUGGGGUUUUCGAGCGUUCUCUCCUUAUUUACCUUGAGUACCCCAAACCCAUUGAGGUCGCCUGCCGACGCUCUCUGGUAGUCGUCCAGGUGCUUGGGUCAUCCUUCUUCUGGCUAGAGUCGCAUUGGCAUCGAUCCUUUGGACAUUUGUUUCAACCCCCCAAGAGCGUCUAUCACUGCCCCUACCGCAGAUGCCACCGAAAAGAGUUCUGGCAUUGAGCGAGCAUUUUCUUGGACUAUCCUGAUCAAACAUCUCGCAUGCCUCAUUCUACCUUUGAAAACUGAAAUUUUAUCCAGGUACAAUAGAUCCAUGGGAAGUCAUUCCUUUGCCUCAGAAACCCGCAAUUCCCAGAUAGAAAAUCCUAUUUCCCGCUCCUCUAGUUUCUUAAACCAGCGCUGUUUCUUUUUCCAGCAGGGAUACUCCCGAAAAAAGGGCUUCCAUUCAAAGUGGAAAGAAAGAGACCGGUUUGUUUUCCCUCUUUGCCUAUCAGUUAAGUAGAUUGUAGGUCCCCUCCCAGGCCUCGCAACCAAGAGUCACUUGUCGAAAGUUGACCAGGAAGACAAGAACUAUCGAGGCUGGAAUAGAUAGAUGAAACACUAAAAUGUUUCACCUUCUUCUAUGGUCAUUCUUAUUUUCAUGAAGUUGAAAUUGUGCUCGCACAUGUAAGCUUAAUCAGGUUUGUGGACAUCACAACCCCCAUUGUCCUGUAUCUCUUCAACAUGCAAGCACUUCGUUAGGGCUGUUUUUUUUUGGAAGUGGGUUCACUGUUUACGCCUCCAUAGAAUCCGGCUAGCUCAAAGAGUCCCCAGAUGACCUCGAGUUGCUCCUGGCACCUUGCUAGGCACGAUCUAUGGUUUUCUCCUCAUUCCAGUGAUGUCAUAAAUGAUUGGGACCGUUCACCUAGAACCGAAAAUCAUUGAAGGGUAGUGAGGAAGGAGUUGGGCGUUUCCUAACUUCCAUUGCCUACACCAGGGGACGUUCCACUUACAUUGCACCCAUGAUAAUCACUAAAGUCGAAAAAUAGCUAAAUAAUUUGAAUUUGCGGGCUCGGCUGUGACCAAUUGUUUAGUGUGCUUAUUUGGUGGCCAAAUGACAUCCGAGGAGCUCUUUACAUAUAAACAUAUCAAAUUUUGUCCUCAAAGUUAUGUACGCAUAGCUUGAGCAAAAGUUGUAUUUUGUAUAUAUGAAGCUCAUUUGAUAAUAUUUGUCACCAAACUAUGCAAGCACCUGAAACACUUGUUCAAUAAUGCCCCAAAUUUUUUUUCUAUUUGUUAUGAUUUUACUCUUUAGAGUGGGUAAAUUGCACUUCGGUGUAGCCACAAUUUUUCCUUCCCUUCCCGCAUCUCUGAUGGUAGCAAGCUCGAGGUACCGGUCAGGAGUUUUUAGCUGGAAGGAUGUGGCGAUCGUGACUCCAAGGUCAUAUCUAUCCAGGGGUACUAUUCUGGGGACGAAGCCAUUAGAAGUUGCUUUUGACCAGUUAUCGCAAUGCCCAAACUUUGCUACAUUAACAUAUAUGAAUUUGUAUGACAGUGGGAAGUAACAUCGAAUUAUGAAAAUGAUACAGGGAUGCAAAUAACAACCUUACUCCUACUUGUCUAGAAUUAUAUGUAUCAACAGGUAUAGUGUGUGUGAGGGGGGGAGGGGGAUCCUAUAAGCCUUGUACACUAGGUUUCUAGCACAUUUGGUGACCAGUCUUGACCAGAUGUGCAAGUUCAGAUCUAGUCUAGGCCUGAAGCUAGCGCUUCCAUUCAGUCAUCUUGGCCCUCCAAGCAGAAGUUGUCACAUCUUGAUCAGGUGCUAAUGUAUUUAUAAAUGGUUUGGGGUCAGAUGGACGCCUUCCUUUCGUAGACUUCCGUUCGUGAAAAGCUUGAUAAUUCCACUGUCAUGACAUGUCCUCCCUCCUUUAAAGGAGUUCCUGGGGUACCCGUCAUCCUAAUUUCACUUCUAGGAGUGACCCUCCGUGGGAGUUGGUUUGACAUUUGUGAAAGUUUCCUUCAGGCUUACACGGCUUGGUAUGGGCCCGAUCCACCUCUUUCCUACAACAUAUGACCUACCCGUAUACUACACCUUCACCCAUGGUGAGUAAACAACCCCUUGGUUGCCCGCUCCACCAGAUACGUGCUGCCAAAAGCAACUCCUGAUGUUCUGUAGCUGAAGUGAUGACAAGAUCUGAACCCGGUGGAUACUUGAGCAGAUAACUUGGAGAGGAGAAUAUAUCUUCUUUCUUAAAAUUUUGCAUUCGUUAUAUAUUUCUCUCAAAUUUUUCUAAAACUAAUUUUUUUAGUACAAAUGAAAUUUCCAUGUAACAAUUUGCGUAAAACAUCAUCUACACAACUAACGGAUCAACUGGGAUGCAACAUGCAUAUAUCUAAUUAGCUCGUGGUAUUAUUUAAAUAUGUCAAGUUGAAUCAAUGAUAAAUAAAUAAAAUAAGAAAUUAACUAUAAAAUAUUUCAAUAUUAAUUAAUGUGGAUGACAGGCAUAAUGUAACCAUGACUCCCUGACAGGUAGGUAGUACAAACGGCAGGGUUGAUUUUAUAUCCGUGUGUUGCUUCUGAUAAUUUACCUGUCGGCAAACAAAAAGAACAAUGAUAGAUCAAACUAUGUGCUUUUGGUUAGCAGCAUACGCGAAACACAGUUGAAGAACUGUAAUGAUGGUACGCCAUGAGAUGCUUUCCUAGGUGAGUAAUUUAUGAUCUCGAGAUGCCCUUCACACACUUACCUAAGUUGACAACUAACUCUAUAAUGCCAUUAAGACUUGAACACUAUUGUUUUAUACUAUUUUCGACUUAAUAAUGAAUCUUGGUGCCAUGGUGAUAGUAUAUUUUAGACUCGGAUCAUGGCAUACACAAGGAUCAUCUAUCGAUUAUUAAUUAAGUGCUAAAUUAUGUGGUGGCAAUAUAUGGACCUAGCUGGCUUGAGAUUUGCUACAUGCAGGGGAGUACGACAACAUCAAUUAUAUCAUGCAUGAUGAGAUUGAGCUUACACAAACUUGUAUUAUCAUGCGUCUACUUUUGAAAUAUACAUAAAAAGGAAGUAAAAAUUGUAGGAAAAAUUAUUGGCUGGUCAAAUAAUUUCAUUCUUCUGGAAUGUAUGACCAUAUUAAUAAUGAAGUACUUGAUUAGACUAACGCUUCUACUGAACCCUCUCAGGUAAACGCCAUGAUGGUGUUGCAUCUACCCUUAUAUGCUUAUGUCUGGAACACAUGCUCUGCUUUUGGAUUUAUCUCUAUAAAAAAUACACUAUUCGAGGAAUCGUCAGAGUUUUCCCCGGGUUUAAAGUUUAUACUGAAAUUUGUAAUUUUGAUAAGCAGUAUAAGGAUCGGUAAAAUGCCAUUCAAGAUAUGUAUUGACGGUAACGCGCAAGGCGCUCUCAUAGGUGUGUAAUUUAUGAUCUUAAGAUGCUCUAUGCGCUAGUGGUUGUUUGGUUAAAUAAAAUUAGCCAUGAGUUUAUGGAAAAUUAGUUGUUAGCUGGUUUUUAGUAAAAUCCUUUUUGCUAGCAGUUUUGUGAAUAAUCAGUAUAGAAAAAAUAGUGUUUGGGAUUAGGAAACUGUAAAGAUGGACAUGCAUUUACUUGUUUGGAUAAAAUUCCAUAUUCCUCUCUCUGUGAGUUGUGGAAGGAGGAUGGCAAGAAAAAAGUUUGGGGCGUGAGGAAGUUAGUUAGGAUCCCGCAUUGCUAUCACGUUUAAAAAAAACAAAUAGUAGUUUUUCUACAAAUGUGAAAUCGUGAGUUUACUUGAAAAAAGGUCUUCAUAUACGCGGGUUAGUUAGAAUAGCGAAGAAAGAUUCUAUUCGGUUAGACAGUUUUUCAAGUUUAUAGGAAUUGCGUUUUGUAUAUACUAUCUAUCCUACCAACCCUAGCUAAGUUGUGAACUCUAUAACGCCAUCAAUACUUGAACGUACUACAGUUCUGUCUUGUUUGGACUCCCGACUGAAUCAUGGUAGUUGUACAUUUUUUACUCAGUGCAUGUCACACACACCAUGAUUAUCUACUGAUUGUUAAGUGCUAGGUAUGUGUUGGCAAGAUAUCCAACUAGUUGGCUCGAUAUUGGGUACAUGCAGGGGAGUACUCCAAAGUCAACUAUAUAUCAUGAUGGGAUCAAGCAUACAUAAACAGGUAUUAUCAUGCAUGUUCGUAUGAUAGUGCAGUAUCAGCUCUGAGAUCAUGAAUGGCAAACUGGAGGGGCUAAUUUAUGAGUGCGUGUGCUUAUAAAUAGGGUCUCUAGCUAGCUAGUACUCACAUCAACACAAGCACGAGAAAACACUUCCAUUUUUCUAGAUAGAGCUUUGAGCCGCAACAUCCGCCUUCCGCUCUUGCAAUGGCUUCCAGCUCCGUGCUUAAGAUGGCCGCCAUUUUCGUGCUGGCCGUAUUCGCCGGCCAGGCACUGAUGGCUACGCUGGCGAUGGCAGAAGGACUAGGUUACCGACACAACCUUUUGGAGAAGUACGAUGAGACGCAAUGUCGCGGAUACGCCACAUGCAAUAUUGUAUGCUUCUACCAAGUUUUUCAAGUCUGCAUCAUCUACAGCCCUGUUGCAUUCUGCAACACUUGGGCGUUUGGGUUCUGCAAGGACAAGAGAUACUGAGGCAUAAAUAGCAGUGCAGCUCCUUUUGGGAUGCAUGCACAACUACACGAGCAACUCACCUCAUCAGUGUCAACUAUUAUUGUUCCUUCGUUAUUGGCGCUGUGCGUCGUAAGAGUCCUAAUAUGUUCCUCCCUUUAUUUCCAACUAUCAUGUAUCAGUGGCUUAACCAACUAUUUAAUUCCUAUAUUGUCUGUCAUCAUGGUACUUGUUCAACUAAAAAUCCCCCAUCGAAUACAAAUGUAUGUGUCGUGUGACUAUAAAAUGGUUCCGCCACUGCAACAUUUUUCAGUCCAUGAUGGCCAUAUAAGCAUGCUCUUUCCACCCUUACCCAUGAAUCUUUUUUCAUGAAUGACCAUUCGUUUGACAGAUUUGGCAUGUGGUUCGACAAAAUGCCAUAAAAAAUAAAGGAUGCAAAAAUAUAAUAAGGGAGCUUGAAGCUGAAUUGGCACUAACCUUGUAAAUACUUUUCGUAGUGGACAAGACAAAUACUACAUAGGCCAUCGCCACACCCAGUUUCGCACGAUCAUCGCAGAUGAUGCGAUGUUUGACAACAUAUACAUUCUAAAGGACACUCAGGGCCCGCAAGGCAUAGAGGGGGAGGUCAUAAGCACCUAUACCGUAAAAUAGAUUUUUGACGGAAUCAAAAAGACAUAUCUGGUAGAAUCGUAACCAUAGAAUACGACCCUAAUCGAAAUGCAUACAUUUGUCUCAUAGGGUGACCAGCGUUGCUUCCAUGUUAAUCCGGGCCCAUAGGGUACGGAAGUUUCUCCUUCUGUGAGUCCCUAUCACGUGGAACCCACAUCAACUGCCGUGAUUGCAUUGGCUUUCAGGGACCGAAUACAUCGAAUCGGGGUUUUCGAGCGGUCUCUCCUUAUUUACCUUGAGUACCCCAAACCCAUUGAGGUCACUUGCUGACGCUCUCUAGUAGUCGUCCAGGUGCUUGGGUCAUCCUUCUUCUGGCUAGUCGCUUUGGCAUCGAUCCUUUGGACAUUUGCUUCAAUCCCCCAAGAACGUCUUUCACUGCCCCUACCACAGAUGCUACCGAAAAGAGUUCCGACAUUGAGCAAGUAUUUUCUUGGACUAUCCCGAUCAAACAUCUCUCAUGCCUCAUUCUACCUUUGAAAACUGAAAUUAUAUCCAGGUACGAUAGAUCCGUGGGAAGUCAUUCCUUUGCCUCAGAAAUCCGCAAUUCCCAGAUGAAAAAUCCUAUUUCAAGCUCCUCUAGUUUCUUAAACCAGCACUGUUUCCUUUUCCAGCAGGGAUACUCCUGAAAAAGGGCUUCCGUUCAAAGUGGAAAGAAAGAGACCUGUCCGUUCUCCCUAUUUGCCUAGCGGUUAAGUAGAAUGUAGGGCCCCUCCUAGGCCACGCAACCAAGAGUCACUUGUCGAAAGUUGACCAGGAAGACAAUAACUAUCGAGGCUGGAAUUGAUAGAUGAAACUCUAAAAUGUUUCACCUUCUUCUAUGGUCAUUCUUAUUUUCAUGAAGCUCACAUGUAAGCUUCGUCAGGCUUGUGGACAUCACAACGCCCAUUCACAUGUAUCUCUUCAACAUGCAAGCACUUCGUUAGGGCCGCUGUUUUUUUGGAAGUGGGUUCACUGUUUACGCCUCCAUGGAAUCUGGCUAGCUCGAAGAGUCCCCAGAUGACGUCGAGUUGCUCCUAGCACCCAGCUAGGCAUGAUCUAUGGUUCUCUCCUCAUUCCCAGUGAUGUGAUAAAUGAUUGGGACCGUUCACCUAGAACGGAAAAUCAUUGAAGGGGACUGAGGAAGGAGUUGGGCGUUUCCUAACUUCCAUUGCCAGAGUGGUUUUUUUACACCAGGGGAUGUUCCACCUACAUUGCACCCAUGAUAAUCACUAAAAUCGACAAAAAAUAUCUAAAUAAUUUGAAUUUGCGGGCUCGGCUGUGACCAAUUGUUUAGGGUGCUUAUUUGGUGGCCAAAUGACAUCCGAGGAGCUCUUUACAUAAAAAAUAUAUCAAAUUUUGUCCUGAAAGUUAUGUAAGCAUAGUUUGAGCAGAAGUUGUAUUUUGUAUAUAUGAAGCUCAUUUGAUACUAUUUGUUCACCAAACUAUGCGAGCACCUAAAACACUUGUUCAAUAAUGCCCCAAAGUUUUUUUUUUCUAUUUGUUAUGAUUUACUCUUCAGCGUGGGUAAAUUGCACUUUGGUGUAGCCACAACUUUUCCUUCCCAUCCCGCAUAUCUGAUGGUAGCAAGCUCGGUGUACAUCUUCACCCAUGGUGAGUAAACAACUCCUUGGUUGGCCGCUCCACCUAGAUAUGUGUCGCCAAAAGCAACUCCAGAUGUUCCUGUAGCUGAAGUGACGACCAGAUCUGAACCCCGUGGAUACUUGAACAUAUAACUUUGAGAGGAGAAUAUAUCUUCUUUCAUCAAAUAUCACAUUAUUUCUACGUAACUACACUGACUAUCAAAUUUUGCAUUCGUUAUAUAUUUCUCUCAAAUUUUGCUAAAACCAAAAUAUUUUUUUAAUACACAUGAAAUUUCCAUGUAACAAUUUGCGUAAAACAUCAUCUACACAACUAAUGAAUCAACUGGGAUGCAACAUGCAUACAUCUAAUUAGCUCGUGGUAAUUGUUUAAAUAUGUCAAGUUCAAUCAAUGAAUCUUUUUUCAUGAAUGACCAUUCGUUUGACAGAUUUGGCAUGUGAUUCGACACAAUGCCAUAAGAAAUAAAGGAUGCAAAAAUAUAAGGGAGCAUGAAGCUGAAUUGGCACUAACCUUGUUAAUAUUUUUCGUAGUGGACAAGACAAAUACUACACAGGCCAUCGCCACACCCAGUUUCGCUAGCUCAUCGCAGAUGAUGCGAUGUUUGACAACAUAUACAUUCUAAACGGACACUCAAGGCCCAUAGGGUGACCAGCGUUGCUUCCAUGUUAAUAUGGGCCCAUAGGGUAUGAAAGUUUUUCUUCUGUGAGUCCCUAUCAUGUGGAACCCACGUCAGCUGUCGUGAUUGCGUUGGCUUUCAGCGACCGAAUACAUCGAAUCGGGGUUUUCGAGCAUUCUCUCCUUAUUUACCUUGAGUACCCCAAACCCAUUGAGGUCGCCUGCCGACGCUCUCUAGUAGUCGUCCAGGUGCUUGGGACAUCCUUCUUCUGGCUAGAGUCGCUUUGGCAUCGAUCCUUUGGACAUUUGGUUCAAUCCCCCAAGAGCGUCUAUCACUGCCCCUACCGCAGAUACUACCGAAAAGAGUUCUGGCAUUGAGCGAGCAUUUUCUUGGACUAUCCUGAUCAAACAUCUCGCAUGCCUCAUUCUACCUUUGAAAACUGAAAUUUUAUCCAGGUACAAUAGAUCCGUGGGAAGUCAUUCCUUUGCCUCAGAAACCCGCAAUUCCCAGAUAGAAAAUCCUAUUUCCCGCUCCUCUAGUUUCUUAAACCAGCGCUGUUUCUAUUUCCAGCAGGGAUACUCCCGAAAAAAGGGCUUUCAUUCAAAGUGGAAAGAAAGAGACCGGUUUGUUCUCCCUCUUUGCCUAUCAGUUAAGUCGAUUGUAGGUCCCCUCCCAGGCCUCGCAACCAAGAGUCACUUGUCGAAAGUUGACCAGGAAGACAAGAACUAUCGAGCCUGGAAUAGAUAGAUGAAACUCUAAAAUGUUUCACCUUCUUCUAUGGUCAUUCUUAUUUUCAUGAAGUUGAAAUUGUGCUCGCACAUGUAAGCUUAAUCAGGUUUGUGGACGUCACAACCCCGAUUGUCCUGUAUCUCUUCAACAUGCAAGCACUUCGUUAGGGCUGGUGUUUUUUUUUGGAAGUGGGUUCACUGUUUACGCCUCCAUAGAAUCCGGCUAGCUCAAAGAGUCCCCAGAUUACGUCGAGUUGCUCCUGGCACCUUGCUAGGCACGAUCUAUGGUUUUCUCCUCAUUCCAGUGAUGUCAUAAAUGAUUGGGACCGUUCACCUAGAACGGAAAAUCAUUGAAGGGUAGUGAGGAAGGAGUUGGGCGUUUCCUAACUUCCAUUGCCUACACCAGGGGACGUUCCACUUACAUUGCACCCAUGAUAAUCACUAAAGUCGAAAAAAUAGCUAAAUAAUUUGAAUUUGCGGGCUCGGCUGCGACCAAUUGUUUAGUGUGCUUAUUUGGUGGCCAAAUGACAUCCGAGGAGCUCUUUACAUAUAAACAUAUCAAAUUUGGUCCUCAAAGUUAUGUACGCAUAGCUUGAGCAAAAGUUGUAUUUUGUAUAUAUGAAGCUCAUUUGAUAAUAUUUGGUCACCAAACUAUGCAAGCACCUGAAACACUUGUUCAAUAAUGCCCCAAAGUUUUUUUCUAUUUUUUAUGAUUUUACUCUUUAGCGUGGGUAAAUUGCACUUCGGUGUAGCCACAACUUUUCCUUCCCUUCCCGCAUCUCUGAUGGUAGCAAGCUCGAGGUACCGGUCAGGAGUUUUUAGCUGGAAGGAUGUGGCGAUCGUGACUCCAAGGUCAUAUCUAUCCAGGGGUACUAUUCUGGGGACAAAGCCAUUAGGAGUUGCUUUUGACCGUGAUCCUUUUGACCAGUUAUCGCAAUGCCCAAACUUUGCUACAUUAACAUACAUGAAUUUGUAUGACAGUGGGAAGUAACAUCGAAUUAUGAAAAUGAUACAGGGAGACAAUCUUCCCCUUUCGGCCCCCACGAUGCAAAUAACAACCUUACUCCUACUUGUCUAGAAUUAUAUGUAUCAACAGGUAUAGUGUGUGUGAGGGGGUGAGGGGGAUCCUGCAAGCCUUGUACACUAGGUUUCUAGCACAUUUGGUGACCAGUCUUGACCAGAUGUGCAAGUUCAGAUCUAGUCUAGGCCUGAAGCUAGGGCUUCCAUUCAGUCAUCUUGGCCCUCCAAGCAGAAGUUGUCACCUCUUGUUCAGGUGCUAAUGUAUUUAUAAAUGGUUUGGGGUCAGAUGGACGCCUUCCUUUCCUAGCCUUCCGUUCGUGAAAAGCUUUAUAAUUCCACUGUCAUGACAUGUCCUCCCUCCUUUAAAGGAGUUCCUGGGGGACCCGUCAUCCUAAUUUCACUGCUAGGAGUGACCCUCCGUGGGAGUUGGUUUGACAUUCAUGAAAGUUUCCUUCAGGCUUACACGGCUUGGCAUGGGCCCGAUCCACCACUUUCCAAAAACAUAUGACCUACCCGUAUACUACACCUUCACCCAUGGUGAGUAAACAACCCCUUGGUUGCCCGCUCCACCAGAUACGUGCUGCCAAAAGCAACUCCUGAUGUUCUGUAGCUGAAGUGAUGACAAGAUCUGAACCCGGUGGAUACUUGAGCAGAUAACUUGGAGAGGAGAAUAUAUCUUCUUUCUUAAAAUUUUGCAUUCGUUAUAUAUUUCUCUCAAAUUUUUCUAAAACUAAUUUUUUUAGUACAAAUGAAAUUUCCAUGUAACAAUUUGCGUAAAACAUCAUCUACACAACUAAUGAAUCAACUGGGAUGCAACAUGCAUAUAUCUAAUUAGCUCGUGGUAUUAUUUAAAUAUGUCAAGUUGAAUCAAUGAUAAAUAAAUAGAAAUAAGAAAUUAACUAUAAAAUAUUUCAAUAUUAAUUAAUGUGGAUGACAGGCAUAAUGUAACCAUGACUCCCUGACAGGUAGGUAGUACAAACGGCAGGGUUGAUUUUAUAUCCGUGUGUUGCUUCUGAUAAUUUACCUGUCGGCAAACAAAAAGAAUAAUGAUAGAUCAAACUAUGUGCUUUUGGUUAGCAGCAUACGCGAAACACAGUUGAAGAACUGUAAUGAUGGUAUGCCAUGAGAUGCUUUCCUAGGUGAGUAAUUUAUGAUCUCGAGAUGCCCUUCACACACUUACCUAAGUUGACAACUAACUCUAUAAUGCCAUUAAGACUUGAACACUAUUGUUUUAUACUAUUUUCGACUUAAUAUUGAAUCUUGGUGCCAUGGUGAUAGUAUAUUUUAGACUCGGAUCAUGGCAUACACAAGGAUCAUCUAUCGAUUAUUAAUUAAGUGCUAAAUUAUGUGGUGGCAAUAUAUGGACCUAGCUGGCUUGAGAUUUGCUACAUGCAGGGGAGUACGACAACAUCAAUUAUAUCAUGCAUGAUGAGAUUGAGCUUACACAAACUUGUAUUAUCAUGCGUCUACUUUUGAAAUAUACAUAAAAAGGAAGUAAAAUUUGUAGGAAAAAUUAUUGGCUGGUCAAAUAAUUUCAUUCUUCUGGAAUGUAUGACCAUAUUAAUAAUGAAGUACUUGAUUAGACUAACGCUUCUACUGAACCCUCACAGGUAAACGCCAUGAUGGUGUUGCAUCUACCCUUAUAUGCUUAUGUCUGGAACACAUGCUCUGCUUUUGGAUUUAUCUCCAUAAAAAAUACACUAUUCGAGGAAUCGUCAGAGUUUUCCCCGGGGUUAAAGUUUAUACUGAAAUUUGUAAUUUUGAUUAGCAGUAUAAGGGUCGGUAAAAUGCCAUUCAAGAUAUGUAUUGACGGUAACGCGCAAGGCUCUCUCAUAGGUGUGUAAUUUAUGAUCUUAAGAUGCUCUAUGCGCUCGUGGUUGUUUGGUUAAAUAAAAUUAGCCAUGAGUUUAUGGAAAAUUAGUUGUUAGCUGGUUUUUAGUAAAAUCCUUUUUGCUAGCAGUUUUGUGAAUAAUCAGUAUAGGAAAAAUAGUGUUAGGGAUUAGGAAACUGUAAAGACGGACAUGCAUUUACUUGUUUGGAUAAAAUUCCAUAUUCCUCUCUCUGUGAGUUGUGGAAGGAGGAUGGCAAGAAAAAAGUUUGGGGCGUGAGGAAGUUAGUUAGGAUCCCGUAUUGCUAUUGCGUUAAAAAAAACAAAUAGUAGUUUUUCUACAAAUGUAAAAUCGUGAGUUUACUUGAAAAAAGGUCUUCAUAUACGCGGGUUAGUUAGAAUAGCGAAGAAAGAUUCUAAUCGGUUAGACAGUUUUUCAAGUUUAUAGGAAUUGCGUUUUGUAUAUACUAUCUAUCCUACCAACCCUAGCUAAGUUGUGAACUCUAUAACGCCAUCAAUACUUGAACGUACUACAGUUCUGUCUUGUUUGGACUCCCGACUGAAUCAUGGUAGUUGUACAUUUUUUACUCAGUGCAUGUCACACACACCAUGAUUAUCUACUGAUUGUUAAGUGCUAGGUAUGUGUUGACAAGAUAUCCAACUAGUUGGCUUGAUAUUGGGUACAUGCAGGGGAGUACUCCAAAGUCAACUAUAUAUCAUGAUGGGAUCAAGCAUACAUAAACAUGUAUUAUCAUGCAUGUUCGUAUGAUAGUGCAGUAUCAGCUCUGAGAUCAUGAAUGGCAAACUGGAGGGGCUAAUUUAUGAGUGCGCGUGCUUAUAAAUAGGGUCUCUAGCUAGCUAGUACUCACAUCAACACAAGCACGAGAAAACACUUCCAUUUUUCUAGAUAGAGCUUUGAGCCGCAACAUCCGCCUUCCGCUCUUGCAAUGGCUUCCAGCUCCGUGCUUAAGAUGGCCGCCAUUUUCGUGCUGGCCGUAUUCGCCGGCCAGGCACUGAUGGCUACGCCGGCGAUGGCAGAAGGACUAGGUUACCGACACAACCUUUUGGAGAAGUACGAUGAGACGCAAUGUCGCGGAUACGCCACAUGCAAUAUUGUAUGCUUCUACCAAGUUUUUCAAGUCUGCAUCAUCUACAGCCCUGUUGCAUUCUGCAACACUUGGGCGUUUGGGUUCUGCAAGGACAAGAGAUACUGAGGCAUAAAUAGCAGUGCAGCUCCUUUUGGGAUGCAUGCACAACUACACGAGCAACUCACCUCAUCAGUGUCAACUAUUAUUGUUCCUUCGUUAUUUACGCUGUGCGUCGUAAGAGUCCUAAUAUGUUCCUCCCUUUAUUUCCAAUUAUCAUGUAUCAGUGGCUUAACCAACUAUUUAAUUCCUAUAUUGUCUGUCAUCAUGGUACUUGUUCAACUAAAAAUCCCCCGUCGAAUACAAAUGUAUGUGUCGUGUGAUUAUAAAAUGGUUCCGCCACUGCAACAUUUUUCAGUCCAUGAUGGCCAUAUAAGCAUGCUCUUUCCACCCUUACCCAUGAAAUAAAUAAAGCAAGAAAGAAAACAAAAAAAAAAUUGCCUCGUACUGGGCCCCCACGGCCUGAAUACGACUAGAAACCCUACCAAGGGCCAGGAUUCGGGCCCGCAGUAGGCCCAGCAGGCCCAUCAGGCAAAGCAGUAGAAAAUAGGCCCGCAAGCCUACGGUGGACAGGAGCUCGAGAGGGGUGCGGCAGUGGGGCUUAUAAACCACUGUGUUUCCCCCUUAGCUAGCGAGGUGGGACUAAACUUUGGCCCCGACGCUGGCAGCACAGGGUCCUUUGGUACCGGUUUGUGGCACCAACCGGUACCAAUGCCCACCCUUUAGUCCCGGUUGGUGCUCUUUCUAUCUUCUCUAUUCCUUUCUUCUUCUCCUCUUUUUAUCUCUUCUUCAUUUUCUUAUGUUUUAUCGGGUCUGUCACCGUCAGGCUGCUCGCCUUCGCCCUCGCCGCCCCCUCGAGAUAACUUCAACAUGAGGGGCGGUCGAUAUAUAUACCCCCUCUCAACCGUGAUAACCUAUACAAGGCAGCACCCCCCUCGUCCCUCUCGCUCGACCAAAACUCUCGAGGCCACCCAAAUUUACCAAGUUAAAAGAGCGUUGUCAUCGAGGCCACCCCAAACCCUUGAAGCGUUGUGUCGAGGCGAUCCCAAACCCUAGAGAAGCAGUGUCGAGGCCACUAACAUGAUUCCUUAUUGUGAUUAGCUAGCUAGUUCUACGUUGGCCACUAAUAUAUAUCCAUCUGUACCAUGUUUUUGAAUAAUAAUUGACAUGUUGUAAAUAUUUGCAGAAACUAUGGAGCCCUACCGAGACGAAGCAACAGAAGCGAUGUUGGGGGAGAUGAUCGCAGAAGGAACUGAUGUUGUUGCGUCAUUUUUCAUCGACGUUGUUGGUGAGGAAGGACUGGGUGAAGAAGAGGGCUAUGUUCAUGAUGGCUCCGGCCCAUUAAUCCCGGUACAAGAAGAGGGCUAAGUUCAUGAUGGCUCCAGUGAUGACCCAAUGGAGGUACAAGAAGGAGACCGUGCUGACUGCUCCGGUGACCGAACCGAGUCCGGCCAGGUAUAUAUAUAUAUUAGUUAACCCCGUGUUGACUAGUUAAUUGAUGCAUUCAUUGUUUUGGUAUAUGUCCACGUAUUAAUUACUCUCGUCUUUCUUCCCUUUAAUUUCUAGCCCUCCGGAUCGAGCAUAACUUCGGUAAGGAGACGAGGCCCGAAGAAAAAGUUGAGCUCGGAUGAAAGGUUUGAGAUCAUAGAAAUCGCGCCCGACGGCGAACCGAUUGAACCCAUCCGUACAAAGAACGCAUUUUCUGCUCAGUGCGGGGUUCCUGUUAGGGACAAGAUCCCGAUCAGCAUCCAACAAUGGUAUAAGCCUAAGGCCGACCCUGAGGUGUCUUAUGUCAAUGCUAUAUAGAAAGAAGAUCUUUGGACUCAGCUGAAGGCAAAUUUCACCCUACCGCCAGAGGAGGAUCCGGAGAAGCCAGUUAAAGAGAAAUUAAUCAAGUCUUGUGCUCUUAAAAAGAUGGCAACCCUAUUCAGGAGGUGGAGGAAAGAGUUUCACCAUUUUGUCGAAAAAAAGACACCAGAAUUCAUCGGCAAAUAUGAGAAGAUCAAAGAUCACUGGCCCGUAUUUGUGGCCCACAAGACAUCGGAAAAGAGUAAGAAGAUGUCGGCGACGAACAAGCAAAAUGCUGCGAAGAAGAAGCUUCACCAUCGCACAGGGUCAGGUGGCUACCUCAAAGCCCGGCCUAAGUGGUCCAAGGCUGAGAAUGAUCUGCUUGAAAAAGGGAUCGAACCAGAGACAAUGAGAUGGCCAGACCAUUGCCGGACUUGGUUCUUCGGGGCUGGCGGAACCUUGGACCCUGUAUCAGGGAUGUGCGUUGGACGGACGAGCAACUGGAAAUACCAGUCAAGAACCUUCGACACUAUAUCAAUGCAGCGCAGAAAGGGACGUUCAUACCAGACAGGGAGAAGGACGAGCUCACAAUGGCCCUCGAGAAUCCUGAGCACCCUGGAUGGACACGAGGCACGCCAGGCUCCAUUCCGUGGAAGGUUGGUUUUCCGGACGCGGGGGGUUACAAAACCCACGAGAGGAGGAAGAAACUGGAGCAGGGCCAACUGCAGGCGCUGCACGAAAGGGUAAUGGGGCUAGAGGAACGAGAAGAGGAACGAGAAGCAGCAGAUCGCAGCAAACGACCUGCCGAAGCUUCCCCGAAGCUACCCCGCCAUCUCAGCGGAGAAGCAGCGUGGCUUCCACCGAGCUGCUUCAGCCGGAGCAUGUCUUGAUGUCUCCUGCCAGCUAUCCCGUGGAUGCUAUCACAGAGUCUCAACAUUGCCACAUUAUGGCGCGAUGGAUGAAUUUGAAGGUCAAGGCGGCUGUUGGCUCUGUUUAUCCUAGUGGAUCCGGAGCAACUUAUCACUGCCGGCUGAUUCCAGAAGUAUAUGCUAAGGUGAUGGUGGAUAAAAUAACGGAGGGAUUUGAGGACCUCGUGCUUGACCACCCUACCGGUGAAGGGGAGACUAGGUUGGGUUCUGCUCUGAAGACUCCAUGCCUAUGGCGGAAGGAGCUUAUCAACCUUCCGAACUGGACGCCUCCGCCUCCUCCUCCUCCUCCGGCGAGUUAGGGCACUCCGCCUCCUCCACCGCCUCCUCCUCCGGCGAGUGACGAUCAGGGCACGUGUGGCGGCACUCCGCCUCCUUCUCCGGCACAUGGCGGCACUCCGCCUCCUUCUCCGCCUGCGCCGGCGCUCCCGAGCAGCCAACACCCUCCUCCUUCUCCGCCUCGCCAGCAAGGGCGGAAGAGACCCGCCGCCGCCCCGGCUGCUCCGGCACGUCGUACUCCUUCUCCUCCGCCUCGUAAGCAAGCACGAAAGAAGACAGACGCCGCAGCCGCUCCGUCUGCUCCGGUGUCUAGCAGCAUAACCAGAGGCGGGAGGCAAUACAGAUACGGUCCACCUCUCAAGCCUCUAGAGAAGUUACCGUAUGAGAGGACCGAUGAGGAAAACGAUACGAUUGUGCGGACCCAUGUGAAGGAGUUCUUUAAAGGGGUGAAAGCAAAGAGACAUCCACCUCCAGAGGAGAAGGUAGAUCCGGUGAAAGCAAAGCGCACUAUCGAUGCCUUGAGGAAACCACCAAAGUCUCCGCCGAGAACCAACUAUAAGCGCAUUACUGAACAGACAUAUCUCCAAGCCCAACGGUCGGGAACUACUGUCAGUGCUAAAAGGUUAAAAGAAUGAGCAAAGGGGAAAAAAGUUGCCCAGCUCGGCGAACAAGCACAGCAAUCGUGCCCCCGCUCAAUGUGUCUAAUGCUCCGGGGAUGGUGGCCGGUUAUGGCAAUCUUGCAGAUUACCUGCCUGACGAUCAACUUCCUGAUUUCUUGGAGGUGGACGAACACAGAUACGAGUACGGGAAGCCUCUCGUCAAAGAUGAAAAAUCUCUGACAACAAUGAUGCGAAGAUUCCAUAAUUGGUACAUGGAAACCUACAGAGAGUCUGGGGGUACGAAUGCUUUGUAUCUGAAUAUUAAAGAGGAGCACGACCUCGUUGCAAAUGAUCUGUUGACUGUUCCAUUUGAUGAGUUCUUCGCGUUCUUCAAUCAAAAGGCCCUCGAUAAACUAAUGGUCUUUUGCUACUUUCUGUGAAUACUAUUUCUGUCAUUAAGUCUCUAUAUAUAGCUCGGCUCUUUCAUUUCAUGUAUUUAUAAUUAAUUAUCCUCAAUAUAUUAUGCAGAUUGAAGAUCGUCUAGUGCAAAAAACAAGAAAUUUAUGAUAUUGGGUUCAUUAACACAAAUAUCAUAGAUGAAUUUCUGGUUAAAAAGGACGUCAAAGAGGCCGAGGACAACGUGCUACAAUCGUUGAUCAAAAAUCAAAACAAAGAUACCAUACUCUUUCCUUACAACGGCAAGUGAGUGUUACUGUCGUGUGCAUAUUCGGUUUCCCUUAUUACUCGAGCGAGGUUAUAGUAAUGUAAUUGAUGAGUUAUGCAUGCGUGUGCAGGUACCACUAUAUUCUUCUGGAGAUUAAGCUUGAGCGUGGACUAGUAACCGUCUUAGACUCGAGACGGAAAGAUCCCAAAACCUAUGCGAACAUGACUGAAAUGCUCAGCAAGUAAGUUCAAUCGAACAUUAUCGCACCAUAUCGGCAACUUUUUGUUCAUUUCAUGAUAUCUCAAGUAAUAAUAAUUAUUUUCUUUGUCUUGCAGGGUUUGGAAACAGUUCACCGCACAAGCUCCGGGACUGCCGAAGGAGCUGCGAUAUACAUACCCGAAAGUAAGUACUACUGGCUAGCUAGUUGCACGCAUCUCCCGUUGAUUCUAUAGCUAUACUUUCAUCAAUGCCAUUUAUAAUGCUUCAUUAUCAGUUUGAUUGACCUCUAUUUCUCGUAAAGUGCUUGUGGCAGGAAGAAGGGAAUGAUUUCUGUGGAUACUACGUGUGCGAGUUCAUCCACAACGCGACUUUGAAAAACAAGCGGGGCUACUCUCAAAGACAAUAUGAAGUGCAUAAGCAAUAAUAUUCACAAUUUCAUUUUAUUACACCAUCAUUUCUGUUGAGUUUCAUUCAUACAUAUGUAUUAAUUAACCCCCUUCUUCAAAUUAGACGUGGCAGAUGCGGAAUGAACUCCUAGAACCAGAUCGCAUGAAAGCAAUUCAAGAGGAAUUGGCGGGAUUCUUUCUUGACCACGUCAUCAAUAAAGCCGGAGAAUACCAUGUGGAAAUUGAUUUCAAUUGCUAGGGGAUUGUAAUUAAGAGAUCUUAUACAUAUUGUACAUGUAUGUAGCCAGUAGCGUCGGAUACAUGAUAUACGAAAACUUGUUGUUCCACCAAUCUCUCGGAGAAGGAGAGGUCGAUCGAUCACUUCUCUCGGUAUGCAUGACGAACUUCUGUACUCAAUGGUUCUCUCGAUCACUUAUGUAUAUAUAGUAUGUAGCGUCGACCAAGCACGGACAUAAGAGAGGACACUUCUCUCUACUAAUUAGCUAGCUAACACAAUAUAUGAAACACCUAAAUUAACCCCCCAAAACCCCCAACCCCCCCUCCUUUCAAAAAAAAACAAAAACCCCAGCCACUGGAAGGCUGACGCGUGGAUGCCUUUUGGUCCCGGAUGGUACCACCAACCGGGACCAAAGGCCCCCUAACUGGGCUCGGCGCACAAGGCCACGUGGAGGCACAUUGGUCCCGGUUCAUGUUUGAACCGGGACUAAUGGGUGGAGGUAUUAGUAACGACCCAUUAGUCCCGGUUCAUGAGCCGAGACUAAAGGCCGUUACGAACCGGGACUAUUAGGUGUUUUUCUACUAGUGUGGGAGGAGGGCUGCCGACGGAGGAGGGAGGAGGGACGAGGGGGCGGCCGGAGGAGGAGGGAGGAGGGGGCGGCUGUAGGAGGAGGGAGGAGGGCGCGGUGGGAGGAGGAGGGAGGGGAGAAGGGAGGAGGGAGGAUGAGGGAUGGAGAGAGUACCUCGGUGGAGGAGCAGCGCAGCAGCGGCAGCGGACGAUGGCAGCGGUGGACGACAGGGCGUACGGGGGAGAGUGACUAAGAGGGAGAGUGAGUGAGAGGGUCGGCCACGUGGGGAGGAUAAGGUAGGGUUAGUAGUAGCGCGGGUUCGUGAAAAGCGCUGCUGGUAUGGAGCAUAACAGUAGCGCUAGGUACGGGUACGCGCUACUGCUAAGUGGGGCUAGCCAUGUGCCCCCGGUUCAAACUUAGCAGCAACUCGUUUUGCUAGUACGCGCUACUGCUAAAAUGAUAGCAGUAGCGCGGUUUAUUUACACGCACUACUACUAAGUAGCAGUAGCGAGUGAGUUUGUCCAUCGUUACUGCUAAGAUGUUGUGUAUAAGGUUUUCCCUAGUAGUGUAAUAAUGAAGUACUUGAUUAGACUAAAGCUUCUACUGGACCCUCUCAGGUAAACACCAUGAUGGUGUUGCAUCUACCCUUAUAUGCUUAUGUCUGGAACACAUGCUCUGCUUUCAGAUUUAUCUCUAUAACAAAUACACUAUUCGAGGAAUGGUCAGAGUUUUCCCUGGGUUUAAAGUUAAUACUGAAAUAUGUAAUUUUGAUUAGCAGUAUAAGGUUUGGUAAUAUGCCAUUCAAGAUAUGUAUUGACAGUAACGCACAAGGCGCUUUCAUAGGUGUGUAAUUUAUGAUCUUAAGAUGCUCUAUGCGCUUGUGGUAGUUUAGUUAAAUAUAAUUAGCCAUGAGUUUAUGGAAAACUAGUUGUGAGCUGGUUUUUGGUAAAACCCGUUUUGCUGCCAGUUUUGUGAAUAAUUAGUAUAGGAAAAAUAGUGUUUGGGAUUAGGAAACUGUAAAGAUGGACAUGCCAUUUACUUGUUUGGAAAAAAUUCCAUAUUCCUCUCUCGGUGAGUUGUGGAAGGAGGAUGGCAUGAAGAAAGUUUUGGGUUAGAUAGUUUUUCAAGUUUAUAGGAAUUGUGUUUUGUAUAUACUAUGUCGGUGUACUAGAAUAGGGGUACCCUAGUACCCCGAACUUGUGCACGGGCAGUUGCAGCACCCCGCGGCAAGGCUUGCCGGGCUAACACCAAGAUCCUCCGUGGUUCCCUUGGAGCCAUUCAAGAACAAAGUAUUUAAGCUCAGGAGACAAGGCCCCGGCAAGAGGAGCUUGCCGGGAAGACCAACCAAGGUACCUCGAGGCCCGGUGAGCGACAAGCUUCCGGACCCGACAAGAUAACAGCAGCGGCAAGGCGCUUGCCGCGGCAGGCGGCCACUCUGUGCCCACGCUCCAGCGCAUCCACCAACGUGUCGCUCUGGGGGCCUCUCCAGGCGCGCGUGGCGGGAGGCUGUGCAGCCAGCGGUACGCAGUCGCAUGCGAAGCUGACAAGAUCGCCAUCGUGGCGAACGGUGGCGCCCCUAACGGUCCUUUUCUGCACUGUUUGGGCGACUCAGACGGGCAUUUAAUGCCCUUGUCCCCUGCCGUCAGGGUUAGGUAGGGUGCGCUGUACAAGUAACUGUACCAACCACCUCACUUUUUACAUUUGUACCCUUCUCUGUGUUGCCACCUGUCGGUGACCCCUUUAGCGUAUAAAAGGAGGCCCAUGUGCAACGUAGAGGGGGGUUCAGUUCGACUGGUUCGCGAAGUUCGACUCAUUCGUAACCCAGAAAAACACUACGCUCUCUCUCUAGAGCAAGAACACAAGAUAAUCAAACAAGCAGCAGUAGGAGUGUUAUCUCUCCGGAGAGCUCCGAAGCUGGGUAAACUGCUCGUGUGCUUCGCCUCGAUCUGCUCUUCGUGCAAUCUNNNNNNNNNNNNNNNNNNNNNNNNNNNNNNNNNNNNNNNNNNNNNNNNNNNNNNNNNNNNNNNNNNNNNNNNNNNNNNNNNNNNNNNNNNNNNNNNNNNNNNNNNNNNNNNNNNNNNNNNNNNNNNNNNNNNNNNNNNNNNNNNNNNNNNNNNNNNNNNNNNNNNNNNNNNNNNNNNNNNNNNNNNNNNNNNNNNNNNNNNNNNNNNNNNNNNNNNNNNNNGGUCCGCCGGCCCCAUAGGUGUUCGUGUGGAUCAGUUUCCCCCGACAUCUUUGGCGCGCCAGGUAGGGGGGCGUCGAGAUUGUGGGAACCUGAUCCGGCGUUCACACGAGCUAGAUCUUCAUUCCCUUCAUCAACAUGCCACUGAAGAAGAAGACUUCGGCGACAGCCGCUUCGUCCAUGUCACUUCCGCCACCGUUGGAGCAAACGGGUGGUGGAAUGGACGCCGGCGGAAGAAUGGACGUCGACGAGGAAGCUCAUGAUGCUACCAGGUGCAAGAGCAAGGCUGCACAAACCUCGGCGACUGUACAUGUUCCACGCCACACUCAGGAGGCGCAAGACCAACAGCGUCAUGGCACUUGCAGUGCCAUACGCAUGAUAGGCCAAGACCAAGCUGGUGGAUCUCAGGGCGCUCAAGACCAGCAUGCACGCCAGCGUGCUGGCACGAGCGGGGCAUGGUCGCCUGGACGGGAUACUGCUCCUUCUAACAUAGUUAGAAGUCCGAGCACGUCCCGCUCCUCGCGCCGUCCGCCACUGCCACCCACCACUCCAGUAGAAGCUUUGGCGCGAGCUCAACUUCUCCUAGAUUACCCUCCGAUGUCGGACAAGAUCGACGAAUGGAGGGCCACCAUUCAGAGUCUCAUCGGCUACGCCAACGGCGACACUCCACGGCGGUCGAGCGCGUCGCCGCCGCGGCAGGGUUGCCGGGCGUGAGCUGGUGGCGACGAAAUGGGUGGAGGUGCAACUACCAUGCAAUCACCACCCCGAAGGCCAAGAUCGCCGACUCGCCGGAUCCACCUCGACAGCGACUCCACCGCAUCUUCGGAUCCACGAGCUCGUCGCGAUCAGCGCCAAGUUCUUCAUGAUCGACAACAAGAAGACGCUCGAACUCGCAUCGAGCGCCCAAGAGAAGCGCGACGUCAAUCCGACAAGCGCGCUGGGCCCUCUGUUGACAUGCAUGUGCCAGGGUAACCAGGCGAUCUGCCGUACGUGGUAGGUUGCCCUGCGUUCACUCGUGAGCUGCGGCAAGUCCAGUGGCCCAGCACAAAGAACUUCAAGCCAGACGUACCGGAGAAGUACGACGGCAAGACGCAUCCGUCGGAGUUCCUCAGCAUUUACACCAUUGCGGUGCAGGCUGCUGGGGGAUGGGAUGACAAGAUCCUUGCCAACUACUUCCCGCUGGUACUCAAGCCCAACGUCAGGUCCUGGCUCAUGCACUUGCCGGACAACUCCAUAUCCUCUUGGGCUGAUCUGUGCCAUCAGUUUGUCGGUGCCUUCACAGGCGGCCACAAACCUCAUGGCCAGGAGAGUGAUCUUCAUCUUCUUGCCCAGAAGGAAGGAGAGCCCCUGCGCAAGUACAUUCAGAGAUUCAGCAGUGUGCAGCACAACAUCCCAGACGUCCACCCUGCCGCGGUGAUCAGCGCGUUCCAUCAGAACAUGCGAAACCGCAGGAUGCGGGAGGAAAUGGCGAUGUGCAAGAUCAGGGACGUCAGUGAGUUAUAUGCACUGGCCGACAAGUGUGCACGUGCUGAGGAAGGGAGGAGACUCCCCGGAGAGAAUGUAGGAGCGGGAGGAUCUGACAGUGAAGAUGCUGCCCCGGCAAGGAAAAACCGGCGGCGGAACAACAGAAGGAGGAAAGGCAAAGAGGUGCUAGUUGUUGAGCAGUCCGGCAACGGUGGUGGCACCAAGGAAGCCAAAGCUGGUGACUCCGGCAAGGAGGUUGCCGCGGAGGUCGCGGUCGCCGACAAGCAGGACGACACCAACAAGCAGUAUUGCAAGAUCCACCGCACCAAGGGCCAUGAUCUCCAGAACUGUAAGAAAGUCGAGCAGCUUGUUGAGCAACAGAAAGCUGAAUACGAGCGGCGCGACAAGGAGAAGGCCCAGGAAGGUGCUGGAGGAUCCGGCAAGAAACGUCCCGGCCGAGGAGGACGACGCGGCAAGGCCAAGCAGCGGCAAGGAGACAGACCUCCUCGCGGCCGCGACAAGGAUGAAGAUGACGACGACGAUGAAGACAUGGAUGAUGAGGAGACUGAUGAGCAGGAGUUCCAGAAAGCCACAGAGGUCCUGUGCAUUGACGGUGGUGCUUCUCUGCACACCUCGCACCGCCAGCUCAAGCAGUGGGUGCGGGAAGUUAAUGCAACAGAACCACCCGUCGAGUCACGCAAGCCUCUGAAAUGGUCCAGCACGCCUAUCAUCUUUGAUAUUGAGGACCACCCUGAUCGCAUAACUGCGGUCGGGUGCUUGCCGAUGUUGGUUUCACCAACAAUCCGCAACCUCAAGGUCACUAAGAUGCUAGUUGACGGCGGGGCCGGCUUGAACCUGGUCUCCUCCGUGGUGCUCCAGAAACUCCAGAUCCCUGACAGCGAGCUCGAAGAGACCGGUACAUUUCAAGGAAUCAACCCGGGAAGAAGCAAGCCGAAGGGAAAGAUCACGUUGCCGGUAACAUUUGGCAGCGAGCUGAACUUCAGGACUGAGAGGGUCACAUUUGAUGUUGCUGACUUUCCAUUACCUUACAAUGGAAUCCUUGGCCGUCCGGCACUCGCCAAGUUCAUGGCAGCCUCUCACUAUGCGUACAAUGUACUGAAAAUGCCAGGCCCGAUAAGUGUCAUCUCUUUCCCUGGAGACAAGAAGGAUGCUCUUAUCUGUGCCGACAAGAUCUACCGGGAAGCAGCAGCCGCAGCAGAACGCAAGACACUUGCCGCUGAAGCUCCCGGGGGGAAGAAGAAGACCAAGUCCGGCCAGAGUUCUGAUGCCCACUCCGGCAAGCGCACCUCUUCGGAGUGCUGCGCUACCGUCGAGGACGCACCAUCGUGCUCCACCGGCAAGUGUAAGAAGGCAAUGACAGCUCCACCUGAGACCAAGAAGGUGUCCGCCAAGGAGGACGGCGCUGGUGGUACCUUCACCAUCAGCGCCACUCUUGACCCCAAAUAGGAAAGCGUGCUCGUUGCUUUCCUACGGGCGAAUGUCGACGUGUUUGCGUGGCAACCGUCUGAUAUCCCUGGUGUUCCCAGGAAAGUAAUUGAGCACCACCUUGCCGUCUGUCCUCAUGCGCGGCCCGUCAAGCAGAAAGUCAGGAAACAGGCAGUGGAGCGCCAAGAAUUCAUCGCAGAAGAAAUCAAGAAGUUGGAAGCAGCAGGCCUUGUCAGAGGAGUGCUCCAUCCCACAUGGUUGGCCAAUCCUGUUGUCGUGCGCAAGGCUAACGGGAAAUGGAGGCUUUGUAUUGACUUCACUGAUGUUAAUAAAGCUUGUCCCAAAGACCCAUUUCCCUUGCCGCGCAUUGACCAGAUUGUUGACUCCACAGCCGGAUGUGAUUUGCUUUCAUUUCUUGAUGCAUACUCAGGAUACCAUCAGAUCUUCAUGGCAGAAGAGGAUGAAGAGAAAACCGCAUUUAUCACCCCGUGUGGCACGUAUUGCUUCAUACGGAUGCCUUUCGGUUUGAAGAAUGCUGGUUCAACAUUCGCAAGGGUAGUCCACCACGCUUUUGAGCCGCAGAUGCACAGAAAUGUGGAAGCCUACAUGGAUGACAUAGUGGUCAAAAGCAGGAACAGGGCGACCCUGAUUCAAGAUUUAGACGAGACAUUUGCAAAUCUGCGCAGGAUCAACCUCAAGCUUAACCCCGAGAAGUGCGUGUUUGGAGUCCCAUCCGGCAAGCUUCUCGGGUUCUUCGUGUCUCAGCGGGGAAUUGAAGCCAAUCCCGACAAGAUCAAGGCCAUUGAGCAGAUCGAAGCACCAAAGCGCGUCAAGGAUGUAUGAAGGCUUGCCGGUUGCGUGGCUGCUCUCAGCAGAUUUAUCUCUAGAUCUGCUGAGCGCGCCCUGCCAUUUUUCAAAAUUUUGAAAAAGGCAGGUCCAAUGAAAUGGACUUCGGAGGCGGAGGCUGCGCUGCAGGACUUGAAGAGAUACCUGUCCUCCACUCCAAUACUUGUCGCACCUAAGCCGCAAGAGAAGUUGCUGCUGUAUAUAGCGGCAACCAACCAAGUGGUUAGUGCUGCGUUAGUGGCGGAGAGGGAGGCAGAUGAUGAGCCAGCAACCACGGCAGAUGCAUCCAGCGACAAGCAGGGGGCUUCGCCGACAAGCUCUGGUCCCGACAUAGAUGGAUCUGCGCAGGAGCAUGAUAAGAUGCAGAAGAGAAUGGUGCAGCGUCCAGUUUACUUUGUCAGUUCCCUUCUAUAGGCGGCUAGAUCAAGGUACUCUGGUGUGCAGAAGUUGCUUUUCGGCCUCCUCAUGGCCUCGAGAAAGCUGCGCCAUUACUUCCAAGCACAUGAGAUCACAAUCGUCACUCGCUUUCCGCUGAAGAGGAUACUGCAAAAUCCAGAAGUGACAGGCAGGAUUGUCGAGUGGGCGCUGGAACUGUCAAGCUUUGGCCUCAAGUUUGAGAGCACUUCAACUAUCCAAAGCAGGGCAUUGGCAGAGUUCAUAGCAGAAUGGAUGCCAACACCAGAUGAAGAAAUUCCAGAGACGAGCAUCCCCGUCAAAGAGGCAAGCAAAGAGUGGCUGAUGUACUUUGAUGGUGCCUUCUCGCUGCAAGGCGCCGGUGCGGGCGUGCUGCUUGUCGCGCCCACCGGAGAGCACCUCAAGUACGUAGUCCAGAUGCACUUUCCCAAGGAGCAAGCAACCAACAAUACUGCAGAGUAUGAAGGAUUGCUUGCCGGUCUCAGAAUUGCAGCAGACCUUGGGAUCAAGAAGCUCAUUGUCAGGGGUGACUCACAGCUUGUUGUCCGCCAAGUGAACAAGAACUACCAGAGUCCAUUGAUGGAAGCAUAUGUUGAUGAAGUGAGGAAGCUAGAAGAGCACUUUGACGGCCUACAGAUGGAGCAUAUCCCAAGAGCUCAGAAUGACAUUGCUGAUGGCCUGUCAAAGUGCGCCGCACUAAAGUUACCUGUGGAACCAGGGAUCUUUGUGCUCAAGUUGACUCAACCAUCCGUAACACCAUCAACUGGACAAAGCAAGAAGAGGAAGUUGAUUUCUGGUGACUACUUUCCGGCAGAGCUCCCCGAAGCCGCCGCCAAGAAAGUCCCCAAGAUCAACACCAAGGUUGCUGAGGGGCAGUCUGCUCCGGCAAGCCUUAUGGUUUGUUCCGUUGAAGCAGACGCUCCCGACAAGUUUUGCUCCGGCAAGCUUGCCGGGGAACAUCAAGCUCCGGCAGGGCAGCAAGUCCUUGCCGUGGAAGCGGAUGUUCCCGCAACAGCAGAUGUGCCUUUAGUCCUUGUUGUCGAGCCACAAGCUCCAGCAUGGGCACAGCAGAUUGUCCAUUUCCUUCAGACAGGAGAACUUCCCGAAGAGCAAGAAGAAGCGGAGAAAUUAGCCCGGCAGUCAAGUAUGUACCAGUUUGUCGAUAGCAUACUGUACAGAAGAAGACUCAACGGUGUGAAAUUGAAGUGUAUUUGCCGGGAAGAUGGACAAAAGCUGUUGGCAGAGAUACAUGGAGGCAUAUGUGGCCACCACAUUGGCGCAAGAGCACUUGCCGGCAAAGCUUUCCGGCAAGGUUUCUUUUGGCCGACAACCCUCCAGGAUGCAACUGCACAAGUAACCAAGUGUGAAGCAUGCCAGUUCCACUCCAAACAGAUACACCAGCCAGCUCAAGCUCUCCAGACGAUCCCUUUAUCCUCGGCCCUUUCCCCCGAGCUGUCGGGGGCUUUGAGUACUUGUACGUCGCAAUCGACAAGUUCACAAGGUGGCCGGAAGUGCAGCCAGUGAGGAAGGUGACAUCACAGUCAGCAGUCAAGUUCUUCAGGUCAAUUGUUUGCCGUUUUGGGAUCCCUAACAGGAUCAUCACCGACAACGGCACGCAAUUCAUGAGCCGCACCUUCAUGCAAUACGUCCAAGACCUUGGCGCCAAGGUCUGCUUCGCUUCUGUUGCUCAUCCAAGAAGCAACGGUCAAGCAGAGAGGGCAAAUGCUAAAGUGCUGCGCGGGCUCUAGACCAGAACUGUCGACAGGCUGCGCAAGUGCGGAAGAAACUGGAUCGAGGAGCUGCCGGUGGUUCUUUGGUCGAUCAGAACGACGCCAAAUCGAGUCACUGGCCAGACGCCUUUCACUCUAGUCUAUGGAGCAGAGGCAGUUCUCCCCACGGAACUCGUAUACGGAUCGCCUCAAGUGCUCGCUUAUGAUGAGCUUGAGCAAGAACAGCUGCGACAAGACGACGCGCUGCUCCUUAAGGAAGAUCGUCUUCAGGCUGCUGUACGAGCUGCUCGAUACCAGCAAGCUUUGCGCCGCUACCAUAGCCGCAAAGUUAAAGACAGAAGCUUCGAGGAAGGCGACCUUGUUCUUCGGCGUGUUCAGUCCGCCAAGAAUUCCAACAAGUUGACGCCGAAGUGGGAAGGCCCUUAUCGGGUGAAACGAGUCACAAGGCCCGGCGCUGUCCGCCUUGAGACCGAAGAUGGCAUUCCGGCGAGCAACUCCUGGAACAUAGAACAUCUUUGUAAGUUUUUCCCGUAGGGCCCGGUUGCCGGAACCCGUUCCGGCAACCACCUUUUGUACAAGUCUUGCCGCUGUUGCAUGUAAUCCUUUGUACAAAGCCGGGCGCAGAUCCCGUGCAUAAAUAAAACCCCAUGUGCUCCGCACAACUUGUCCAUUUCAUGCAUUAAUUUCUUUCUUGCAUGCGUUAUCUGACACUUUGUGCAGCACCUACAUCCGAUAAGCAAUAACGAGCCGAAGGGCUCCAUAUCAUUAUUUUCUCUUCUUUCUUCUUUUCAACAAAGGAAAAGAAGGUUCCCUUGCACACAAGUUUGCCGGGGGGGAAGGAGAAGAUUGUGGUAUGGACCAGGCGUCGUUCAAGAAAAGUUUUGCCUUGCCGGGAAGCAAACGACAGAAAAGCUAAGUUGCCAAAGUUUGAGCAAUCAGUUUUUAAAUUUUUGAGUUAUUUUCCUCGAACGACCCUGCUUUGUAUGGAAAACCUGUGCGCGGAGGGACCAACUCGUGGCUAGUUGCGCCCUUACUUUGUUUCGAGUCCGCUCAACAACUUAAGUGUGCUGCAUCUAGUCGCGACAAGGUUUCUUGUCGGAAGCAGCGCUGCCAGCAGGCUGCUGAAGUUCCGCACCCAGCGCUCGCGGCUCGGGUGCCUGCGCCGACAAGUUCCCUAGAAGUGUAGGGUAAAAGCAUACAAAGGAAGGAAUCUAGUAGAGGAAAUAACAUAGCAAUUGAUAACAGAAAUAAAGUUAUAUUACAAGAUAACUUGUCGCAGCUCUAACAGACUGUUUUCAUAACAUGAUUAGCAGCGACAAGGGAAAAGAAGAAAUGGGCAGCCUAGUCUACGCGUCCGCCCUCGACCCUCUUGAUCUCACUCACCUUGUCCACAAUGGGUGCGACAAGGGCCUUGAGCGCAUCCAGAUCGGCGUCAGGCGGCAAGGACCUGAGGACGUUGGUAAGGUUGAGGCCUGGGUUGCGGAAGGCCACCUUCAUCAGCACCUUCUGGAGAGCCCUCGUGCAAAUCCUGCGCGACUCAUCGGCCAGCUGCUUUGGGAUCCUCUCCCAGAGCCGCUGGAGUGCCGUCGCCACGCCCUUGAAGAACAUGCUGAGCUUGGCGCUGGGUUGGAGAUUCUCGUCGGAGGGAUACCCAAAGUCCUCCAUCCCCAGCUGCGCCAGCUCCUCGUCGAUGACUGCGGCAAUAUUCACCAGACCCUCGGUCCAGUGCUCCACAGUAUCUCUGAACGAGUUCUGGGUAACUGCGAUGCUCUCCAGCAGCGCCUUGUCAGCUUUGACCUUCUCUGACAAGGUCUUCUCCCGCUCCUUGGCGGCCUCCAGCGUCUGCAUCAGCGUGGCCAGCUUCAACUCCAGGACCGCAUUGGAAUCCUUGGCGGCGCUGAGCUCCUUGCCCCUCUCAGCGAGAAGACCUUGCAGCUCACCGUGGGCGGCAACAUCCUUCUCACGCUCACGCUUGAGCGCGGCAAGCUCCUCGCCGCUCUUCUCGAUGUUGGCCUCCAGCUGCGCCACCUUCUCCUCCAGCUCUUUCGUGGCAGCCUCUGUGAUUGCGGCAGCGUCCUUUGCCUCCUUGAGCACCCCGCCAAGUGCUUGCUCGCGCUCGGCGAGCUCCUCCUUGUAGCUGUCGAGGUUGGCCUUCCGCUGCACCAAUUCGCCUUCUCGCGCGGACUGCUUCUCGGCGGCCAACCUUUGUUCCUCCUCAGCUUCGGCCUUCUCGAGAAGGAAGGCCGUGCGCUCCUCGUCGAGUCGCUCCCGCUCCCGUGCCAAGGACCGGAGAGCUUCUUGAUUGUGGCCCCGGUGUUCCUCCGCGCGCUUCUCCAUGUCAACUCCCGCCUUCGCGGCAAGCGCUUCCCGGGAAGCCAGCUUGGCUUGCCGUGCGCGGUAGAGUGACAGCAGCUUCCGCAGCAGCUGCUCCUCCUCAGGCUCGCCACUGCUGCUGCUGGGCGCGUCGACCAACGACAAUCCAGCAGAGGCGAGCACCUCCUCAUCGAAAGUUUCCCCCUCGACCGGCACCCUGGAGCUCGAAGACCAGCGUAGCUUGAUGAAGAUAUCGUCACCGGCCUUCAAGUAGGCGCCGGGCUGGGGCUCCUCGGAGCCCGGCUUCGCAGAAGCGGCAGAGGGAUCGGCGGUUGGCGCAGCGCCUGGCGCUCCUGCGGCCUCAGGGUCGUCAGUGCGAUCGCCCGACCCCUCGCCGGCUUCUACGACGGCAGCCUUGGCGGCCUCCUCGCCGGCGGUCUCAUCAGCACCGGCCCCUUCCUCGCCAGCGCCCUUUGUCUCCAUUGGCUCAGCAGCAGAUGGGUCUGAAGAACGAAGAAGGGAGAAAAAUCAAUCAAAAAUCCAAGAGAAGAAAAUCAGAAGAAGAAGAACCCAAGGGAAAGUUUUUGGGCAAGUGAAUUACCUAUGCCAAGAUCUGCAGUUGCGGUCUCGGCCGCCGCAGGGUCGGCGGUGCUGCCCCUUGCCGGAGAGUUCUCCCUUGCCGGAGAGCGCUCCCUUAUCGGGAACUCCUCCCUUAGCGGCAUAGUCGAAGCAGAUGGCACUUCGGGACUAGCUUCCAGGCGCUCCUGAUAUGGCUGCUCUGCUCCUACACAAAUCAACAAGCAAGAUAUCAACAAAGGAAAAAGCACUCAUGUGCGCUUGACAGCAGAAAGCUAACUAUGAACUUACGCUGGGGGCUGUUUUGAGGAGUGGUUGCCGGGUCCGUCAAGGUGGUCUCGGACCCACCCCCUGCUGACAUAGUGGGGUCAUCUUCGAUGACAAUCACCGCGGCCUUGGCCCUCUUCGCCGCUCUCUGGGCUAGCAUCCUGAAAAGAAAGGAGUCCAGAUUGAAGCAGGCCAGAUACAAGAUAAAAACAGCAAGAUUGAAGAACUACAAGAGCACCAAGGAAACUUACUCUUCUUCCUCCUCGUCGGAGCUGAGCGCAGAAAUAUCAAAGUCUGGCUCCCUUCCGGUGCGGCGAGGCGGAGGAGCAGGAUCCCUUGCCCGCUUGGCGGGGGCGGUGGCGGUGGCCCGGGAAGAUCCCGCUCCAGUUGCCGCUGCUGCGUGGGGCGCUCCCGCGGUAACAUUGCUUGCCGCGGUAGAGCGUGUCGCACGGCUUGGCGGCUGUUGACCCGGCUGCCGCCCCGCUACGUCCGCGGCCCUACGAAGACGCCUUCUUGGCGGGGCCGGGGGCUCCGCCUGUGGCAAGCCUUCUGAAGGCUCGGGCUCUUCCUCGCCGGCCUCGCUCGGCUCAGCUUCAGAACCGGCAGGCUCUUCCUCGCCAAUGAACUCCGUGUGCUCGGCGAGGUUUGCCGCCUCUGCAGCCUCCGCCUCCUCCACAGUGAACCCGAACGCGCCCGCGGCAACUGCGGCCGCAACCUCUUCCGCCCUAGUGGUGAUGCGCUGCAGCUCCUCAUCGGUGGUGUCACGGGUGAGGCUCUUCUGAUCGUCAGCGUGGACCGGCACUUCUUCCAAGUUGUCGAAGAACGCUUGCACGACGUCAUCUGCAGGCUCUUGCCAAGUUGGAACGAUCCCGUGUGAAUCGCACAACGGCAUCAUGGCGCGGAUCCGGUCAAGCGAAGAAUUGUUGCACAAUGGAAUGACGCCCCUCGGCAGCGUGACUGGGUGCUGGGGGUCGCGUUUGAACAACUCCAGGAGCAUUGCAUCCAGCUCCAAGACGGUGAAGUUGUAGUUGAGGCCCGGCCGCAGCCUCAUGAUGUCCGCCGAGUUCUUGAAUUCCCAGGCGGGCCUCCCCCUCUCCUGCAGGGGGGCGAUGCGGCGGCGGAGGAAAUCUGCGCCUACAGCGCCUACAGUGAGCCCGGCAAGCCUGAGGCGAAGGAUCCUAGUAAUGGCGAUCUUCAGCCUCUCGUCUUCCGGGGCCACAUUGCUCCAGUCAUUGCCGCGCACUAUUGGAGCUUGGCGCACGACUAUGAAGGGCUGCGGAUUCUCCUCGACGAUCCAGCACCACUCCGCCCUCCACUCCUCCCACUUGCUACGGAGCUCACCCUCCAAGUACGCCUCCUUCUUGCCGACUCUCGAGAUCCAGGCGAUCCCACCGGCAAGCGGCUCUCCUCUCUCUACCCGAGGUAUGAAGAAGUGGUGGGAAAGGGCAACAUUGGGGUGGACUCCGAUAAAGUUUUCGCACAAAUGUGCGAAAACUGCCAUGGUCAGAACGGCGUUGGGGGUGAAGUCAAGGAGGCGGAAGCCGUAGGUGUUCAUGAUAUCGCAGAAGAACUCCAAGAAGGGCGGGUAGAGCCCGCAAUAGAAGAACAGCGCGAAGAAUGGGUACCCGUUUGGAGCCAGUUCUGAAGUAGCGGCCGGGAGUACCCUCGUGCGCGGAUGCACCCGCGUCUCCGUCGCCCAAAAGAGGUAGAAGUACUCCCUCAGCUCCUUCACGCCGAGCUGGGGGGAGAAGAUCACCCGCUCCUUUCGCAGCGCCGCGAGCCGCUGCGCCUCGGCCGACUUCACGCCCUUUCCCUUGUCGGCUUUCGGAGCCAUGGCGGAGGUGGUGGGGGAGGUCGACGGCGUUAGUGAUGCUGGUGGCAAUGGGGGGCGGAGCGCUGCUCUCUCGGCUUCGAGAAGAAGAGGGGGGGCGGCGGAGGUUCGUGAAGAUGGAGUAGUAGCAACCAGCAAGGGGGAAAGAACUGCCCCUGUUUCCUCUGCUUAUAAAGAGGGACGGGGCGGACGUUUCGCCCUUCCGAAUAAAGAACCACCCACGAUCUCUCCCACAAUGCCGCAUUGAACGCGUGCCGUUAGGGGAGAGCGCGGUGGACACGGAGCGAGAUUCGGCGUGGCCCAGUCCACAUGUGCCCGUGCCCUGUCUUGGGCCUGGCCCAACAGCGCUCGGCACCGUGUCUGGCCCAGGCCCGGGGGCUCCUGUCGGUGUACUAGAAUAGGGGUACCCUAGUACCCCGAACUUGUGCACGGGCAGUUGCAGCACCCCGCGGCCAGGCUUGCCGGGCUAACACCAAGAUCCUCCGUGGUUCCCUUGGAGCCAUUCAGGAACAAAGUAUUUAAGCUCAGGAGACAAGGCCCCGGCAAGAGGAGCUUGCCGGGAAGGCCAACCGAGGCACUCCAAGGAACUUGCCGCGACGCGCCACGCGCUCCGGCAAGGCAACAAGGCCCUGGCAAGAGGAGCUUGCCGGGAAGACUAACCAAGGUACCUCGAGGCCCGGUGAGCGACAAGCUUCCGGACCCGACAAGAUAACAGCAGCGGCAAGGCGCUUGCCGCGGCAGGCGGCCACUCUGUGCCCACGCUCCAGCGCAUCCACCAACGUGUCGCUCUGGGGGCCUCUCCAGGCGCGCGUGGCGGGAGGCUGUGCAGCCAGCGGUACGCAGUGGCAUGCGAAGCUGACAAGAUCGCCAUCGUGGCGAAUAGUGGCGCCCCUAACGGUCCUUUUCUGCACUGUUUGGGCGACUCAGACGGGCAUUUAAUGCCCUUGUCCCCUGCCGUCAGGGUUAGGUAGGGUGCACUGUACAAGUAACUGUACCAACCACCUCACUUUUUACAUUUGUACCCUUCUCUACGUUGCAACCUGUCUGUGACCCCUUUAGCGUAUAAAAGGAGGCCCAUGCGCAACAUAGAGGGGGGUUCGGUUCGACUGGUUCGCGAAGUUCGACUCAUUCGUAACCCAGAAAAACACUACGCUCUCUCUCUAGAGCAAGAACACAAAAUAAUCAAACAAGCAACAGUAGGAGUGUUAUCUCUCCGGAGAGCUCCGAAGCUGGGUAAACUGCUCGCGUGCUUCGCCUCGAUCUGCUCUUCGUGCNNNNNNNNNNNNNNNNNNNNNNNNNNNNNNNNNNNNNNNNNNNNNNNNNNNNNNNNNNNNNNNNNNNNNNNNNNNNNNNNNNNNNNNNNNNNNNNNNNNNNNNNNNNNNNNNNNNNNNNNNNNNNNNNNNNNNNNNNNNNNNNNNNNNNNNNNNNNNNNNNNNNNNNNNNNNNNNNGAAAGGGGCCCGGUCCGCCGGCCCCAUAGGUGUUCGUGUGGAUCAGUUUCCCCCGACAUACUAUCUAUCCUAUCAACCAUAGCUAAGUUGUGAACUCUAUAACGUCAUCCAUACUUGAAUGUACUACAGUUCUGUCCUGUUUGGACUCCCGACAGAAUCAUGGUAGUUGUACAUUUUGUACUCAGUGCAUGUCACACACACCAUGAUUAUCUACUCAUUCUUAAGUGCUAAGUAUGUGUUGGGAAGAUAUCCAACUAGUUGGCUUGAUAUCGGGCACAUGCUGGGCAGUACUCCAAAGUCAACUAUAAAUCAUCAUGGGAUCAAGCUUACAUAAACAAGUAUUAUCAUGCAUGUUCGUAUGAUAGUCCAGUAUCAGCUAUGAGAUCAUGAAUGGCAAACUGGAGGGGCUAAUUUAUGAGUGCGUGUGCUUAUAAAUAGGAUCUCUAGCUAGCUAGUACUCACAUCAACACAACCACGGAAAAAAACUUCCAUUAUUCUAGAUAGAGCUUUGAGCCGCAACAUUCGCCUUCCGCUCUUGCAAUGGCUUCCAGCUCCGUGCUUAAGAUGGCCGCCAUUUUCAUGCUGGCCCUAUUCGCCGGCCAGGCGCUGAUGGCUACGCCAGUGAUGGCAGAAGAACUAGGUAACCGGCACAACCUUUUGGAGAAGUAUGAUGAGACACAAUGUCGCGGAUACGCCACAUGCAAUAUUGUAUGCUUCUACCAAGUUUUUCAAGUCUGCAUCAUCUACAGCCCUGUUGCAUUCUGCAACACUUGGGCGUUUGGGUUCUGCAAGGACAAGAGAUAUUGAGGCAUAAAUGGCAGUGCAGCUCCUUUUGGGAUGCAUGCACAACUACACGAGCAACUCACCUCAUCAGUGUCAACUAUUGUUCCUUGGUUAUUGGCGUUGUCCGUUGUAAGAGUCCUAAUAUGUUCCUCCCUUUAUUUCCAGCUAUCAUGUAUCAGCGGCUUAGCCAACUAUUUAAUUACUUCAUUGUCUGUCAUCAUGGUACUUGUUUAACUAAAAAUGCCCCGUCGGAUACAAAUGUAUGUGUCGUGUGAUUAUUAAAUGGUUCCGCCGCUGCAACAUUUUUUGGUCCAUAAUGGCCAUAUAAGCAUGCUCUUUCUACCCUUACCCAUGAAUCUUUUUUCAUGAAUGACCAUUCGUUUGACAGAUUUGGCAUGUGGUUCGACAAAAUGCCAUAAGAAAUAAAGGAUGCAAAAAUAUAAGGGAGCAUGAAGCUGAAUUGGCACUAACCUUGUUAAUAUUUUUCGUAGUGGACAGGACAAAUACUACACAGGCCAUCGCCACACCCAGUUUCGCUAGCUCAUCGCAGAGGAUGCGAUGUUUGACAACAUAUACAUUCUAAACGGACACUCAAGGCCCAUAGGGUGACCAGCGUUGCUUCCGUGUUAAUAUUGGCCCACAGGGUAUGAAAGUUUUUCUUUUGUGAGUCCCUAUCAUGUGGAACCCACGUCAGCUGUCGUGAUUGCGUUGGCUUUCAGCGACCGAAUACAUCGAAUCGGGGUUUUCGAGCGUUCUCUCCUUAUUUACCUUGAGUACCCCAAACCCAUUGAGGUCGCCUGCCAACGCUCUCUAGUAGUCGUCCAGGUGCUUGGGUCAUCCUUCUUCUGGCUAGAGUCGCAUUGGCAUCGAUCCUUUGGACAUUUGUUUCAAUCCCCCAAGAGCGUCUAUCACUGCCCCUACCGCAGAUGCCACCGAAAAGAGUUCUGGCAUUGAGCGAGCAUUUUCUUGGACUAUCCUGAUCAAACAUCUCGCAUGCCUCAUUCUACCUUUGAAAACUGAAAUUUUAUCCAGGUACAAUAGAUCCAUGGGAAGUCAUUCCUUUGCCUCAGAAACCCGCAAUUCCCAGAUAGAAAAUCCUAUUUCCCGCUCCUCUAGUUUCUUAAACCAGCGCUGUUUCUUUUUCCAGCAGGGAUACUCCCGAAAAAAGGGCUUCCAUUCAAAGUGGAAAGAAAGAGACCGGUUUGUUCUCCCUCUUUGCCUACCAGUUAAGUAGAUUGUAGGUCCUCUCCCAGGCCUCGCAACCAAGAGUCACAUGUCGAAAGUUGACCAGGAAGACAAGAACUAUCGAGGCUGGAAUAGAUAGAUGAAACACUAAAAUGUUUCACCUUCUUCUGUGGUCAUUCUUAUUUUCAUGAAGUUGAAAUUGUGCUCGCACAUGUAAGCUUAAUCAGGUUUGUGGACAUCACAACCCCCAUUGUCCUGUAUCUCUUCAACAUGCAAGCACUUCGUUAGGGCUGUUUUUUUUUGGAAGUGGGUUCACUGUUUACGCCUCCAUAGAAUCCGGCUAGCUCAAAGAGUCCCCAGAUGACCUCGAGUUGCUCCUGGCACCUUGCUAGGCACGAUCUAUGGUUUUCUCCUCAUUCCAGUGAUGUCAUAAAUGAUUGGGACCGUUCACCUAGAACGGAAAAUCAUUGAAGGGUAGUGAGGAAGGAGUUGGGCGUUUCCUAACUUCCAUUGCCUACACCAGGGGACGUUCCACUUACAUUGCACCCAUGAUAAUCACUAAAGUCGAAAAAAUAGCUAAAUAAUUUGAAUUUGCGGGCUCGGCUGCGACCAAUUGUUUAGUGUGCUUAUUUGGUGGCCAAAUGACAUCCGAGGAGCUCUUUACAUAUAAACAUAUCAAAUUUUGUCCUCAAAGUUAUGUACGCAUAGCUUGAGCAAAAGUUGUAUUUUGUAUAUAUGAAGCUCAUUUGAUAAUAUUUGUCACCAAACUAUGCAAGCACCUCAAACACUUGUUCAAUAAUGCCCCAAAGUUUUUUUCUAUUUGUUAUGAUUUUACUCUUUAGCGUGGGUAAAUUGCACUUCGGUGUAGCCACAAUUUUUCCUUCCCUUCCCGCAUCUCUGAUGGUAGCAAGCUCGAGGUACCGGUCAGGAGUUUUUAGCUGGAAGGAUGUGGCGAUCGUGACUCCAAGGUCAUAUCUAUCCAGGGGUACUAUUCUGGGGACGAAGCCAUUAGGAGUUGCUUUUGACCGUGAUCCUUUUGACCAGUUAUCGCAAUGCCCAAACUUUGCUACAUUAACAUAUAUGAAUUUGUAUGACAGUGGGAAGUAACAUCGAAUUAUGAAAAUGAUACAGGGAGACAAUCUUCCCCUUUCGGCCCCCACGAUGCAAAUAACAACCUUACUCCUACUUGUCUAGAAUUAUAUGUAUCAACAGGUAUAGUGUGUGUGAGGGGGGGAGGGGGAUCCUAUAAGCCUUGUACACUAGGUUUCUAGCACAUUUGGUGACCAGUCUUGACCAGAUGCGCUUCCAUUCAGUCAUCUUGGCCCUCCAAGCAGAAGUUGUCACAUCUUGAUCAGGUGCUAAUGUAUUUAUAAAUGGUUUGGGGUCAGAUGGACGCCUUCCUUUCCUAGCCUUCCGUUCGUGAAAAGCUUGAUAAUUCCACUGUCAUGACAUGUCCUCCCUCCUUUAAAGGAGUUCCUGGGGUACCCGUCAUCCUAGUUUCACUUCUAGGAGUGACCCUCCGUGGGAGUUGGUUUGACAUUCGUGAAAGUUUCCUUCAGGCUUACACGGCUUGGCAUGGGCCCGAUCCACCUCUUUCCUACAACAUAUGACCAACCCGUAUACUACACCUUCACCCAUGGUGAGUAAACUUGAUGUUCUGUACCUGAAGUGAUGACAAGAUCUGAACCCGGUGGAUACUUGAGCAGAUAACUUGGAGAGGAGAAUAUAUCUUCUUUCUUAAAAUUUUGCAUUCGUUAUAUAUUUCUCUCAAAUUUUUCUAAAAACUAAUUUUUUUUAGUACAAAUGAAAUUUCCAUGUAACAAUUUGCGUAAAACAUCAUCUACACAACUAAUGGAUCAACUGGGAUGCAACAUGCAUAUAUCUAAUUAGCUCGUGGUAUUAUUUAAAUAUGUCAAGUUGAAUCAAUGAUAAAUAAAUAAAAUAAGAAAUUAACUAUAAAAUAUUUCAAUAUUAAUUAAUGUGGAUGACAGGCAUAAUGUAACCAUGACUUCCUGACAGGUAGGUAGUACAAACGGCAGGGUUGAUUUUAUAUCCGUGUGUUGCUUCUGAUAAUUUACCUGUCGGCAAACAAAAAGAACAAUGAUAGAUCAAACUAUGUGCUUUUGGUUAGCAGCAUACGCGAAACACAGUUGAAGAACUGUAAUGAUGGUAUGCCAUGAGAUGCUUUCCUAGGUGAGUAAUUUAUGAUCUCGAGAUGCCCUUCACACACUUACCUAAGUUGACAACUAACUCUAUAAUGCCAUUAAGACUUGAACACUAUUGUUUUAUACUAUUUUCGACUUAAUAAUGAAUCUUGGUGCCAUGGUGAUAGUAUAUUUUAGACUCGGAUCAUGGCAUACACAAGGAUCAUCUAUCGAUUAUUAAUUAAGUGCUAAAUUAUGUGGUGGCAAUAUAUGGACCUAGCUGGCUUGAGAUUUGCUACAUGCAGGGGAGUACGACAACAUCAAUUAUAUCAUGCAUGAUGAGAUUGAGCUUACACAAACUUGUAUUAUCAUGCGUCUACUUUUGAAAUAUACAUAAAAAGGAAGUAAAAUUUGUAGGAAAAAUUAUUGGCUGGUCAAAUAAUUUCAUUCUUCUGGAAUGUAUGACCAUAUUAAUAAUGAAGUACUUGAUUAGACUAAAGCUUCUACAGAACCCUCUCAGGUAAACGCCAUGAUGGUGUUGCAUCUACCCUUAUAUGCAUAUGUCUGGAACACAUGCUCUGCUUUUGGAUUUAUCUCUAUAAAAAAUACACUAUUCGAGGAAUCGUCACAAUUUUCCCCGGGUUUAAAGUUUAUACUGAAAUUUGUAAUUUUGAUAAGCAGUAUAAGGAUCGGUAAAAUGCCAUUCAAGAUAUGUAUUGACGGUAACGCGCAAGGCGCUCUCAUAGGUGUGUAAUUUAUGAUCUUAAGAUGCUCUAUGCGCUCGUGGUUGUUUGGUUAAAUAAAAUUAGCCAUGAGUUUAUGGAAAAUUAGUUGUUAGCUGGUUUUUAGUAAAAUCCUUUUUGCUAGCAGUUUUGUGAAUAAUCAGUAUAGAAAAAGUAGUGUUUGGGAUUAGGAAACUGUAAAGAUGGACAUGCAUUUACUUGUUUGGAUAAAAUUCCAUAUUCCUCUCUCUGUGAGUUGUGGAAGGAGGAUGGCAAGAAAAAAGUUUGGGGCGUGAGGAAGUUAGUUAGGAUCCCGUAUUGCUAUCGCGUUUAAAAAAAACAAAUAGUAGCUUUUCUACAAAUGUGAAAUCGUGAGUUUACUUGAAAAAAGGUCUUCAUAUACGCGGGUUAGUUAGAAUAGCCAAGAAAGAUUCUAUUCGGUUAGACAGUUUUUCAAGUUUAUAGGAAUUGCGUUUUGUAUAUACUAUCUAUCCUACCAACCCUAGCUAAGUUGUGAACUCCAUAACGCCAUCAAUACUUGAACGUACUACAGUUCUGUCUUGUUUGGACUCCCGACUGAAUCAUGGUAGUUGUACAUUUUUUACUCAGUGCAUGUCACACACACCAUGAUUAUCUACUGAUUGUUAAGUGCUAGGUAUGUGUUGGCAAGAUAUCCAACUAGUUGGCUUGAUAUUGGGUACAUGCAGGGGAGUACUCCAAAGUCAACUAUAUAUCAUGAUGGGAUCAAGCAUACAUAAACAGGUAUUAUCAUGCAUGUUCGUAUGAUAGUGCAGUAUCAGCUCUGAGAUCAUGAAUGGCAAACUGGAGGGGCUAAUUUAUGAGUGCGUGUGCUUAUAAAUAGGGUCUCUAGCUAGCUAGUACUCACAUCAACACAAGCACGAGAAAACACUUCCAUUUUUCUAGAUAGAGCUUUGAGCCGCAACAUCCGCCUUCCGCUCUUGCAAUGGCUUCCAGCUCCGUGCUUAAGAUGGCCGCCAUUUUCGUGCUGGCCGUAUUCGCCCGCCAGGCACUGAUGGCUACGCCGGCGAUGGCAGAAGGACUAGGUUACCGACACAACCUUUUGGAGAAGUAUGAUGAGACGCAAUGUCGCGGAUACGCCACAUGCAAUAUUGUAUGCUUCUACCAAGUUUUUCAAGUCUGCAUCAUCUACAGCCCUGUUGCAUUCUGCAACACUUGGGCGUUUGGGUUCUGCAAGGACAAGAGAUACUGAGGCAUAAAUAGCAGUGCAGCUCCUUUUGGGAUGCAUGCACAACUACACGAGCAACUCACCUCAUCAGUGUCAACUAUUAUUGUUCCUUCGUUAUUGGCGCUGUGCGUUGUAAGAGUCCUAAUAUGUUCCUCCCUUUAUUUCCAACUAUCAUGUAUCAGUGGCUUAACCAACUAUUUAAUUCCUAUAUUGUCUGUCAUCAUGGUACUUGUUCAACUAAAAAUCCCCCGUCGAAUACAAAUGUAUGUGUCGUGUGAUUAUAAAAUGGUUCCGCCACUGCAACAUUUUUCAGUCCAUGAUGGCCAUAUAAGCAUGCUCUUUCCACCCUUACCCAUGAAUCUUUUUUCAUGAAUGACCAUUCCUUUGACAGAUUUGGCAUGUGGUUCAACAAAAUGCCAUAAAAAAUAAAGGUUGCAAAAAUAUAAUAAGGGAGCUUGAAGCUGAAUUGGCACUAACCUUGUAAAUACUUUUGGUAGUGGACAAGACAAAUACUACAUAGGCCAUCGCCACACCCAGUUUCGCACGAUCAUCGCAGAUGAUGCGAUGUUUGACAACAUAUACAUUCUAAACGGACACUCAGGGCCCGCAAGGCAUAGAGGGGGAGGUCAUAAGCGCCUAUACCAUAAAAUAGAUUUUCGACGGAAUCAAAAAGACAUAUCUGGUAGAAUCGUAACCAUAGAAUACGACCCUAAUCGAAAUGCAUACAUUUGUCUCAUAGGGUGACCAGCGUUGCUUCCAUGUUAAUCCGGGCCCAUAGGGUACGAAAGUUUCUCCUUCUGUGAGUCCCUAUCACGUGGAACCCACAUCAACUGCGGUGAUUGCAUUGGCUUUCAGGGACCGAAUACAUCGAAUCGGGGUUUUCGAGCGGUCUCUCCUUAUUUACCUUGAGUACCCCAAACCCAUUGAGGUCACUUGCUGACGCUCUCUAGUAGUCGUCCAGGUGCUUGGGUCAUCCUUCUUCUGGCUAGUCUCUUUGGCAUCGAUCCUUUGGACAUUUGCUUCAAUCCCCCAAGAACGUCUUUCACUGCCCCUACCACAGAUGCUACCGAAAAGAGUUCCGACAUUGAGCAAGUAUUUUCUUGGACUAUCCCGAUCAAACAUCUCUCAUGCCUCAUUCUACCUUUGAAAACUGAAAUUAUAUCCAGGUACGAUAGAUCCGUGGGAAGUCAUUCCUUUGCCUCAGAAAUCCGCAAUUCCCAGAUGAAAAAUCCUAUUUCAAGCUCCUCUAGUUUCUUAAACCAGCACUGUUUCCUUUUCCAGCAGGGAUACUCCUGAAAAAGGGCUUCCGUUCAAAGUGGAAAGAAAGAGACCUGUCCGUUCUCCCUAUUUGCCUAGCGGUUAAGUAGAAUGUAGGGCCCCUCCUAGGCCACGCAACCAAGAGUCACUUGUCGAAAGUUGACCAGGAAGACAAUAACUAUCGAGGCUGGAAUAGAUAGAUGAAAGUCUAAAAUGUUUCACCUUCUUCUAUGGUCAUUCUUAUUUUCAUGAAGCUCACGUGUAAGCUUCGUCAGGCUUGUGGACAUCACAACGCCCAUUCACAUGUAUCUCUUCAACAUGCAAGCACUUCAUUAGGGCCGCUGUUUUUUUGGAAGUGGGUUCACUGUUUACGCCUCCAUGGAAUCUGGCUAGCUCGAAGAGUCCCCAGAUGACGUCGAGUUGCUCCUGGCACCCAGCUAGGCAUGAUCUAUGGUUCUCUCCUCAUUCCCAGUGAUGUGAUAAAUGAUUGGGACCGUUCACCUAGAACGGAAAAUCAUUGAAGGGGACUGAGGAAGGAGUUGGGCGUUUCCUAACUUCCAUUGCCAGAGUGGUUUUUUUACACCAGGGGACGUGCCACCUACAUUGCACCCAUGAUAAUCACUAAAAUCGACAAAAAAUAUCUAAAUAAUUUGAAUUUGCGGGCUCGGCUGUGACCAAUUGUUUAGGGUGCUUAUUUGGUGGCCAAAUGACAUCCGAGGAGCUCUUUACAUAAAAAAUAUAUCAAAUUUUGUCCUGAAAGUUAUGUAAGCAUAGUUUGAGCAGAAGUUGUAUUUUGUAUAUAUGAAGCUCAUUUGAUACUAUUUGUUCACCAAACUAUGCGAGCACCUAAAACACUUGUUCAAUAAUGCCCCAAAGUUUUUUUUUCUAUUUGUUAUGAUUUACUCUUCAGCGUGGGUAAAUUGCACUUUGGUGUAGCCACAACUUUUCCUUCCCAUCCCGCAUAUCUGAUGGUAGCAAGCUCGGUGUACAUCUUCACCCACGGUGAGUAAACAACUCCUUGGUUGGCCGCUCCACCUAGAUAUGUGUCGCCAAAAGCAACUCCAGAUGUUCCUGUAGCUGAAGUGACGACCAGAUCUGAACCCCGUGGAUACUUGAACAUAUAACUUGGAGAGGAGAAUAUAUCUUCUUUCAUCAAAUAUCACAUUAUUUCUACGUAACUACACUGACUAUCAAAUUUUGCAUUCGUUAUAUAUUUCUCUCAAAUUUUGCUAAAACCAAAAUAUUUUUUUAAUACACAUGAAAUUUCCAUGUAACAAUUUGCGUAAAACAUCAUCUACACAACUAAUGAAUCAACUGGGAUGCAACAUGCAUACAUCUAAUUAGCUCGUGGUAAUUGUUUAAAUAUGUCAAGUUCAAUCAAUGAAUCUUUUUUCAUGAAUGACCAUUCGUUUGACAGAUUUGGCAUGUGGUUCGACAAAAUGCCAUAAGAAAUAAAGGAUGCAAAAAUAUAAGGGAGCAUGAAGCUGAAUUGGCACUAACCUUGUUAAUAUUUUUCGUAGUGGACAAGACAAAUACUACACAGGCCAUCGCCCCACCCAGUUUCGCUAGCUCAUCGCAGAUGAUGCGAUGUUUAACAACAUAUACAUUCUAAACGGACACUCAAGGCCCAUAGGGUGACCAGCGUUGCUUCCAUGUUAAUAUGGGCCCACAGGGUAUGAAAGUUUUUCUUCUGUGAGUCCCUAUCAUGUGGAACCCACGUCAGCUGUCGUGAUUGCGUUGGCUUUCAGCGACCGAAUACAUCGAAUCGGGGUUUUCGAGCAUUCUCUCCUUAUUUACCUUGAGUACCCCAAACCCAUUGAGGUCGCCUGCCGACGCUCUCUAGUAGUCGUCCAGGUGCUUGGGUCAUCCUUCUUCUGGCUAGAGUCGCUUUGUCAUCGAUCCUUUGGACAUUUGGUUCAAUCCCCCAAGAGCGUCUAUCACUGCCCCUACCGCAGAUGCUACCGAAAAGAGUUCUGGCAUUGAGCGAGCAUUUUCUUGGACUAUCCUGAUCAAACAUCUCGCAUGCCUCAUUCUACCUUUGAAAACUGAAAUUUUAUCCAGGUACAAUAGAUCCGUGGGAAGUCAUUCCUUUGCCUCAGAAACCCGCAAUUCCCAGAUAGAAAAUCCUAUUUCCCGCUCCUCUAGUUUCUUAAACCAGCGCUGUUUCUAUUUCCAGCAGGGAUACUCCCGAAAAAAGGGCUUCCAUUCAAAGUGGAAAGAAAGAGACCGGUUUGUUCUCCCUCUUUGCCUAUCAGUUAAGUCGAUUGUAGGUCCCCUCCCAGGCCUCGCAACCAAGAGUCACUUGUCGAAAGUUGACCAAGAAGACAAGAAUAUCGUGGCUGGAAUAGAUAGAUGAAACUCUAAAAUGUUUCACCUUCUUCUAUGGUCAUUCUUAUUUUCAUGAAGUUGAAAUUGUGCUCGCACAUGUAAGCUUAAUCAGGUUUGUGGACGUCACAACCCCCAUUGUCCUGUAUCUCUUCAACAUGCAAGCACUUCGUUAGGGCUGGUGUUUUUUUGGAAGUGGGUUCACUGUUUACGCCUCCAUAGAAUCCGGCUAGCUCAAAGAGUCCCCAGAUUACGUCGAGUUGCUCCUGGCACCUUGCUAGGCACGAUCUAUGGUUUUCUCCUCAUUCCAGUGAUGUCAUAAAUGAUUGGGACCGUUUACCUAGAACGGAAAAUCAUUGAAGGGUAGUGAGGAAGGAGUUGGGUGUUUCCUAACUUCCAUUGCCUACACCAGGGGACGUUCCACUUACAUUGCACCCAUGAUAAUCACUAAAGUCGAAAAAAUAGCUAAAUAAUUUGAAUUUGCGGGCUCGGCUGCGACCAAUUGUUUAGUGUGCUUAUUUGGUGGCCAAAUGACAUCCGAGGAGCUCUUUACAUAUAAACAUAUCAAAUUUGGUCCUCAAAGUUAUGUACGCAUAGCUUGAGCAAAAGUUGUAUUUUGUAUAUAUGAAGCUCAUUUGAUAAUAUUUGGUCACCAAACUAUGCAAGCACCUGAAACACUUGUUCAAUAAUGCCCCAAAGUUUUUUUCUAUUUUUUAUGAUUUUACUCUUUAGCGUGGGUAAAUUGCACUUCGGUGUAGCCACAACUUUUCCUUCCCUUCCCGCAUCUCUGAUGGUAGCAAGCUCGAGGUACCGGUCAGGAGUUUUUAGCUGGAAGGAUGUGGCGAUCGUGACUCCAUGGUCAUAUCUAUCCAGGGGUACUAUUCUGGGGACAAAGCCAUUAGGAGUUGCUUUUGACCGUGAUCCUUUUGACCAGUUAUCGCAAUGCCCAAACUUUGCUACAUUAACAUACAUGAAUUUGUAUGACAGUGGCAAGUAAAAUCGAAUUAUGAAAAUGAUACAGGGAGACAAUCUUCCCCUUUCGGCCCCCACGAUGCAAAUAACAACCUUACUCCUACUUGUCUAGAAUUAUAUGUAUCAACAGGUAUAGUGUGUGUGAGGGGGUGAGGGGGAUCCUGCGAGCCUUGUACACUAGGUUUCUAGCACAUUUGGUGACCAGUCUUGACCAGAUGUGCAAGUUCAGAUCUAGUCUAGGCCUGAAGCUAGGGCUUCCAUUCAGUCAUCUUGGCCCUCCAAGCAGAAGUUGUCACCUCUUGUUCAGGUGCUAAUGUAUUUAUAAAUGGUUUGGGGUCAGAUGGACGCCUUCCUUUCCUAGCCUUCCGUUCGUGAAAAGCUUUAUAAUUCCACUGUCAUGACAUGUCCUCCCUCCUUUAAAGGAGUUCCUGGGGUACCCGUCAUCCUAAUUUCACUGCUAGGAGUGACCCUCCGUGGGAGUUGGUUUGACAUUCAUGAAAGUUUCCUUCAGGCUUACACGGCUUGGCAUGGGCCCAAUCCACCUCUUUCCUACAACAUAUGACCUAGGAGCUGUCGACAGGCUGCGCAAGUGCGAAAGAAACUGGAUCGAGGAGCUGCCAAUGGUUCUUUGGUCGAUCAGAAUGACGCCAAAUCGAGCCACUGGCCAGAUGCCUUUCGCUCUAGUCUAUGGAGCAGAGGCAGUUCUCCCCACGGAACUCGUAUACGGAUCGCGUCGAGUGCUCGCUUAUGAUGAGCUUGAGCAAGAACAGCUGCGACAAGACGACGCGCUGCUCCUUGAGGAAGAUCGUCUUCAGGCUGCUGUACGAGCUGCUCGAUACCAGCAAGCUUUGCGCCGCUACCAUAGCCGCAAAGUUAAAGCCAGAAGCUUCGAGGAAGGCGACCUUGUUCUUCGGCGUGUUCAGUCCGCCAAGAAUUCCAACAAGUUGACGCCGAAGUGGGAAGGCCCUUAUCGGGUGAAACGAGUCACAAGGCCCGGCGCUGUCCGCCUUGAGACCGAAGAUGGCAUUCCGGUGAGCAACUCCUGGAACAUAGAACAUCUUUGUAAGUUUUUCCCGUAGGGCGCGGUUGCCGGAACCCGUUCCGGCAACCACCUUUUGUACAAGUCUUGCCACAGUUGCAUGUAAUCCUUUAUACAAAGCCGGGCGCAGAUCCCGUGCAUAAAUAAAACCCCAUGUGCUCCGCACAACUUGUCCAUUUCAUGCAUUAGUUUCUUUCUUGCAUGCGUUAUUUGACACUUUGUGCAGCACCUACAUCCGGUAAGCAAUAACGAGCCGAAGGGCUCCAUAUCAUUAUUUUCUCUUCUUUCUUCUUUUCAACAAAGGAAAAGAAGGUUCCCUUGCACACAAGUUUGCCGGGGGGGAAGGAGAAGAUUGUGGUAUGGACCAGGCGUCGUUCAAGAAAAGUUUUGCCUUGCCGGGAAGCAAACGACAGAAAAACUAAGUUGCCAAAGUUUGAGCAAUCAGUUUUCAAAUUUUUGAGUUAUUUUCCUCGAACGACCCCGCUUUGUAUGGAAAACCUGUGCGCGGAGGGACCAACUCGUGGCUAGUUGCGCCCUUACUUUGUUUCGAGUCCGCUCAACAACUUAAGUGUGCUGCAUCUAGUCGCGACAAGGUUUCUUGUCGGAAGCAGCGCUGCCAGCAGGCUGCUGAAGUUCCGCACCCAGCGCUCGUGGCUCGGGUGCCUGCGCCGACAAGUUCCCUAGAAGCGUAGGGUAAAAACAUACAAAGGAAGGAAUCUAGUAGAGGAAAUAACAUAGCAAUUGAUAACAGAAAUAAAGUUAUAUUACAAGAUAACUUGUCGCAGCUCUAACAGACUGUUUUCAUAACAUGAUUAGCAGCGACAAGGGAAAAGAAGAAAUGGGCAGCCUAGUCUACGCGUCCGCCCUCGACCCUCUUGAUCUCACUCACCUUGUCCACAAUGGGUGCGACAAGGGCCUUGAGCGCAUCCAGAUCGGCGUCAGGCGGCAAGGACCUGAGGACGUUGGUAAGGUUGAGGCCUGGGUUGCGGAAGGCCACCUUCAUCAGCACCUUCUGGAGAGCCCUCGUGCAAAUCCUGCGCGACUCGUCGGCCAGCUGCUUUGGGAUCCUCUCCCGGAGCCGCUGGAGUGCCGUCGCCACGCCCUUGAAGAACAUGCUGAGCUUGGCGCUGGGUUGGAGAUUCUCGUCGGAGGGAUACCCAAAGUCCUCCAUCCCCAGCUGCGCCAGCUCCUCGUCGAUGACUGCGGCAAUAUUCACCAGACCCUCGGUCCAGUGCUCCACAGUAUCUCCGAACGAGUUCUGGGUAACUGCGAUGCUCUCCAGCAGCGCCUUGUCAGCUUUGACCUUCUCUGACAAGGUCUUCUCCCGCUCCUUGGCGGCCUCCAGCGUCUGCAUCAGCGUGGCCAGCUUCAACUCCAGGACCGCAUUGGAAUCCUUGGCGGCGCUGAGCUCCUUGCCCCUCUCAGCGAGAAGACCUUGCAGCUCACCGUGGGCGGCAGCAUCCUUCUCACGCUCACGCUUGAGCGCGGCAAGCUCCUCGCCGCUCUUCUCGAUGUUGGCCUCCAGCUGCGCCACCUUCUCCUCCAGCUCUUUUGUGGCAGCCUUUGUGCUUGCGGCAGCGUCCUUUGCCUCUUUGAGCACCCCGCCAAGUGCUUGCUCGCGCUCGGCGAGCUCCUCCUUGUAGCUGUCGAGGUUGGCCUUCCGCUGCACCAAUUCGCCUUCUCGCGCGGACUGCUUCUCGGCGGCCAGCCUUUGUUCCUCCUCAGCUUCGGCCUUCUCGAGAAGGAAGGCCGUGCGCUCCUCGUCGAGUCGCUCCCGCUCCUGUGCCAGGGACCGGAGAGCUUCUUGAUUGUGGCCCCGGUGUUCCUCCGCACGCUUCUCCAUGUCAACUCUCGCCUUCGCGACAAGCGCUUCCUGGGAAGCCAGCUUGGCUUGCCGUGCGCGGUAGAGUGAUAGCAGCUUCCGCAGUAGCUGCUCCUCCUCAGGCUCGCCACUGCUGCUGCUGGGCACGUCGACCAACGACAGUCCAGCAGAGGCGAGCACCUCCUCAUCGAAAGUUUCCCCCUCGACUGGCGCCCUGGAGCUCGAAGACCAGGGUAGCUUGAUGAAGAUAUCGUCACCGGCCUUCAAGUAGGCGCCGGGCUGGGGCUCCUUGGAGCCCGGCUUCGCAGAAGCGGCAGAGGGAUCGGCGGUUGGCGCAGCGCCUGGCGCUCCUGCGGCCUCAGGGUCGUCAGUGCGAUCGCCCGACCCCUCACCGGCUUCUACGGCGGCAGCCUUGGCGGCCUCCUCGCCGGCGGUCUCAUCAGCACCGGCCCCUUCCUCGCCAGCGCCCUCUGUCUCCAUUGGCUCAGCAGCAGAUGGGUCUGAAGAACGAAGAAGGGAGAAAAAUCAAUCAAAAAUCCAAGAGAAGAAAAUCAGAAGAAGAAGAACCCAAGGGAAAGUUUUUGGGCAAGUGAAUUACCUAUGCCAAGAUCUGCAGUUGCGGUCUCGGCCGCCGCAGGAUCGGCGGUGUUGCCCCUUGCCGGAGAGUUCUCCCUUGCCGGAGAGCGCUCCCUUAUCGGGAACUCCUCCCUUAGCGGCAUAGUCGAAGCAGAUGGCACUUCGGGACCAGCUUCCAGGCGCUCCUGAUAUGGCUGCUCUGCUCCUACACAAAUCAACAAGCAAGAUAUCAACAAAGGAAAAAACACUCAUGCGCGCUUGACAGCAGAAAGCUAACUAUGAACUUACGCUGGGGGCUGUUUUGAGGAGUGGUUGCCGGGUCCGUCAAGGUGGUCUCGGACCCACCCCCUGCUGACACGGUGGGGUCAUCUUCGAUGACAAUCACCGCGGCCUUGGCCCUCUUCGCCGCUCUCUGGGCCAGCAUCCUCAAAAGAAAGGAGUCCAGAUUGAAGCAGGUCAGAUACAAGAUAAAAACAACAAGAUUGAAGAACUACAAGAGCACCAAGGAAACUUACUCUUCUUCCUCCUCGUCGGAGCUGAGCGUAGAAAGAUCAAAGUCUGGCUCCCUUCCGGUGCGGCGAGGCGGAGCAGCAGGAUCCCUUGCCCGCUUGGCGGGGGCGGUGGCGGUGGCCCGGGAAGAUCCCGCUCCAGUUGCCGCUGCUGCGUGGGGCGCUCCCGCGGUAACAUUGCUUGCCGCGGUAGAGCGUGCGCACGGCUUGGCGGCUGUUGACCCGGCUGCCGCCCCGCUACGUCCGCGGCCCUACGAAGACGCCUUCUUGGCGGGGCCGGGGGCUCCGCCUGCGGCAAGCCUUCUGAAGGCUCGGGCUCUUCCUCGCCGGCCUCGCUCGGCUCAGCUUCAGAACCGGCAGGCUCUUCCUCGCCAAUGAACUCCGUGUGCUCGGCGAGGUUUGCCGCCUCUGCAGCCUCCGCCUCCUCCACAGUGAACCCGAACGCGCCCGCGGCAGCUGCGGCCGCAACCUCUUCCGCCCUAGUGGUGAUGCGCUGCAGCUCCUCAUCGGUGGUGUCACGGGUGAGGCUCUUCUGAUCGUCAGCGUGGACCGGCACUUCUUCCAAGUUGUCGAAGAACGCUUGCACGACGUCAUCUGCAGGCUCUUGCCAAGUUGGAACGAUCCCGUGUGAAUCGCACAACGGCAUCAUGGCGCGGAUCCGGUCAAGCGAAGAAUUGUUGCACAAUGGAAUGACGCCCCUCGGCAGCGUGAAUGGGUGCUGGGGGUCGCGUUUGAACAACUCCAGGAGCAUUGCAUCCAGCUCCAAGACGGUGAAGUUGUAGUUGAGGCCCGGCCGCAGCCUCAUGAUGUCCGCCGAGUUCUUGAAUUCCCAGGCGGGCCUCCCCCUCUCCUGCAGGGGGGCGAUGCGGCGGCGGAGGAAAUCUGCGCCUACAGCGCCUACAGUGAGCCCGGCAAGCCUGAGGCGAAGGAUCCUAGUAAUGGCGAUCUUCAGCCUCUCGUCUUCCGGGGCCACAUUGCUCCAGUCAUUGCCGCGCACUAUUGGAGCUUGGCGCACGGCGGUGAAGGGCUGCGGAUUCUCCUCGACGAUCCAGCACCACUCCGCCCUCCACUCCUCCAACUUGAUGCGGAGCUCACCCUCCAAGUACGCCUCCUUCUUUCCGACUCUCGAGAUCCAGGCGAUCCCACCGGCAAGCGGCUCUCCUCUCUCUACCCAAGGUAUGAAGAAGUGGCGGAAAAGGGCAACAUUGGGGUGGACUCCGACAAAGUUUUCGCACAAAUGUGCGAAAACUGCCAUGGUCAGAACGGCGUUGGGGGUGAAGUCAAGGAGGCGGAAGCCGUAGGUGUUCAUGAUAUCGCAUAAGAACUCCGAGAAGGGCGGGCAAAGCCCGCAAUAGAAGAACAGCGCGAAGAAUGGGUACCCGUUUGGAGCUAGUUCUGAAGCAGCGGCCGGGAGUACCCUCGUGCGCGGAUGCACCCGCGUCUUCGUCGUCCAAAAGAGGUAGAAGUACUCCCUCAGCUCCUUCACGCCGAGCUGGGGGGAGAAGAUCACCCGCUCCUUUCGCAGCGCCGCGAGCCGCUACGCCUCGGCCGACUUCACGCCCUUUCCCUUGUCGGCUUUCGGAGCCAUGGCGGAGGUGGUGGGGGAGGUCGACGGCGUUAGUGAUGCUGGUCGCAAUGGGGGGCGGAGCGCUGCUCUCUCGGCUUCGAGAAGAAGAGGGGGGGGGGCGGCGGAGGUUCGUGAAGAUGGAGUAGUAGCAACCAGCGAGGGGGAAAGAACUGCCCCUGUUUCCUCUGCUUAUAAAGAGGGACGGGGCGGACGUUUCGCCCUUCCGAAUAAAGAACCACCCACGAUCUCUCCCACGAUGCCGCAUUCAACGCGUGCCGUUAGGGGAGAGCGCGGUGGACACGGAGCGAGAUUCGGCGUGGCCCAGUCCACAUGUGCCCGUGCCCUGUCUUGGGCCUGGCCCAACAGCGCUCGGCACCGUGUCUGGCCCAGGCCUGGGGGCUCCUGUCGGUGUACUAGAAUAGGGGUACCCUAGUACCCUGAACUUGUGCACGGGCAGUUGCAGCACCCCGCGGCCAGGCUUGCCGGGCUAACACCAAGAUCCUCCGUGGUUCCCUUGGAGCCAUUCAAGAACAAAGUAUUUAAGCUCAGGAGACAAGGCCCCGGCAAGAGGAGCUUGCCGGGAAGGCCAACCGAGGCACUCCAAGGAACUUGCCGCGGCGCGCCACGCGCUCCGGCAAGGCAACAAGGCCCCGGCAAGAGGAGCUUGCCGGGAAGACUAACCAAGGUACCUCGAGGCCCGGUGAGCGACAAGCUUCCGGACCCGACAAGAUAACAGCAGCGGCAAGGCGCUUGCCGCGGCAGGCGGCCACUCUGUGCCCACGCUCCAGCGCAUCCACCAACGUGUCGCUCUGGGGGCCUCUCCAGGCGCGCGUGGCGGGAGGCUGUGCAGCCAGCGGUACGCAGUGGCAUGCGAAGCUGACAAGAUCGCCAUCGUGGCGAAUAGUGGCGCCCCUAACGGUCCUUUUCUGCACUGUUUGGGCGAUUCAGACGGGCAUUUAAUGCCCUUGUCCCCUGCCGUCAGGGUUAGGUAGGGUGCACUGUACAAGUAACUGUACCAACGACCUCACUUUUUACAUUUGUACCCUUCUCUGCGUUGCCACCUGUGGUGACCCCUUUAGCGUAUAAAAGGAGGCCCAUGCGCAACAUAGAGGGGGGUUCGGUUCGACUGGUUCGCGAAGUUCGACUCAUUCGUAACCCAGAAAAACACUACGCUCUCUCUCUAGAGCAAGAACACAAAAUAAUCAAACAAGCAACAGUAGGAGUGUUAUCUCUCCGGAGAGCUCCGAAGCUGGGUAAACUGCUCGUGUGCUACGCCUCGAUCUGCUCUUCGUUUGAUCUCCGCCCCCCCUCCUCCCCCCCCCGCUGAACCGAAAGGGGCCCGGUCCGCCGGCCCCAUAGGUGUUUGUGUGGAUCAGUUUCCCCCGACAUACUAUCUAUCCUAUCAACCAUAGCUAAGUUGUGAACUCUAUAACGUCAUCAAUACUUGAAUGUACUACAGUUCUGUCCUGUUUGGACUCCCGACAGAAUCAUGGUAGUUGUACAUUUUGUACUCAGUGCAUGUGUCACACACCAUGAUUAUCUACUCAUUCUUAAGUGCUAAGUAUGUGUUGGGAAGAUAUCCAACUAGUUGGCUUGAUAUCGGGCACAUGCUGGGCAGUACUCCAAAGUCAACUAUAAAUCAUCAUGGGAUCAAGCUUACAUAAACAAGUAUUAUCAUGCAUGUUCGUAUGAUAGUCCAGUAUCAGCUAUGAGAUCAUGAAUGGCAAACUGGAGGGGCUAAUUUAUGAGUGCGUGUGUUUAUAAAUAGGAUCUCUAGCUAGCUAGUACUCACAUCAACACAACCACGGAAAAAAACUUCCAUUUUUCUAGAUAGAGCUUUGAGCCGCAACAUCCGCCUUCCGCUCGUGCAAUGGCUUCCAGCUCCGUGCUUAAGAUGGCCGCCGUUUUCAUGCUGGCCCUAUUCGCCGGCCAGGCGCUGAUGGCUACGCCAGUGAUGGCAGAAGAACUAGGUAACCGGCACAACCUUUUGGAGAAGUAUGAUGAGACACAAUGUCGCGGAUACGCCACAUGCAAUAUUGUAUGCUUCUACCAAGUUUUUCAAGUCUGCAUCAUCUACAGCCCUGUUGCAUUCUGCAACACUUGGGCGUUUGGGUUCUGCAAGGACAAGAGAUAUUGAGGCAUAAAUGGCAGUGCAGCUCCUUUUGGGAUGCAUGCACAACUACACGAGCAACUCACCUCAUCAGUGUCAACUAUUGUUCCUUGGUUAUUGGCGUUGUCCGUUGUAAGAGUCCUAAUAUGUUCCUCCCUUUAUUUCCAGCUAUCAUGUAUCAGCGGCUUAGCCAACUAUUUAAUUACUUCAUUGUCUGUCAUCAUGGUACUUGUUUAACUAAAAAUGCCCCGUCGGAUACAAAUGUAUGUGUCGUGUGAUUAUAAAAUGGUUCCGCCGCUGCAACAUUUUUUGGUCCAUAAUGGCCAUAUAAGCAUGCUCUUUCUACCCUUACCCAUGAAUCUUUUUUCAUGAAUGACCAUUCGUUUGACAGAUUUGGCAUGUGGUUCGACAAAAUGCCAUAAGAAAUAAAGGAUGCAAAAAUAUAAGGGAGCAUGAAGCUGAAUUGGCACUAACCUUGUUAAUAUUUUUCGUAGUUGACAAGACAAAUACUACACAGGCCAUCGCCACACCCAGUUUCGCUAGCUCAUCGCAGAGGAUGCGAUGUUUGACAACAUAUACAUUCUAAACGGACACUCAAGGCCCAUAGGGUGACCAGCGUUGCUUCCGUGUUAAUAUUGGCCCACAGGGUAUGAAAGUUUUUCUUUUGUGAGUCCCUAUCAUGUGGAACCCACGUCAGCUGUCGUGAUUGCAUUGGCUUUCAGCGACCGAAUACAUCGAAUCGGGGUUUUCGAGCGUUCUCUCCUUAUUUACCUUGAGUACCCCAAACCCAUUGAGGUCGCCUGCCGACGCUCUCUAGUAGUCGUCCAGGUGCUUGGGUCAUCCUUCUUCUGGCUAGAGUCGCAUUGGCAUCGAUCCUUUGGACAUUUGUUUCAAUCCCCCAAGAGCGUCUAUCACUGCCCCUACCGCAGAUGCCACCGAAAAGAGUUCUGGCAUUGAGCGAGCAUUUUCUUGGACUAUCCUGAUCAAACAUCUCGCAUGCCUCAUUCUACCUUUGAAAACUGAAAUUUUAACCAGGUACAAUAGAUCCAUGGGAAGUCAUUCCUUUGCCUCAGAAACCCGCAAUUCCCAGAUAGAAAAUCCUAUUUCCCGCUCCUCUAGUUUCUUAAACCAGCGCUGUUUCUUUUUCCAGCAGGGAUACUCCCGAAAAAAGGGCUUCCAUUCGAAGUGGAAAGAAAGAGACGGGUUUGUUCUCCCUCUUUGCCUAUCAGUUAAGUAGAUUGUAGGUCCCCUCCCAGGCCUCGCAACCAAGAGUCACUUGUCGAAAGUUGACCAGGAAGACAAGAACUAUCGAGGCUGGAAUAGAUAGAUGAAACACUAAAAUGUUUCACCUUCUUCUAUGGUCAUUCUUAUUUUCAUGAAGUUGAAAUUGUGCUCGCACAUGUAAGCUUAAUCAGGUUUGUGGACAUCAGAACCCCCAUUGUCCUGUAUCUCUUCAACAUGCAAGCACUUCGUUAGGGCUGUUUUUUUUUUUGGAAGUGGGUUCACUGUUUACGCCUCCAUAGAAUCCGGCUAGCUCAAAGAGUCCCCAGAUGACCUCGAGUUGCUCCUGGCACCUUGCUAGGCACGAUCUAUGGUUUUCUCCUCAUUCCAGUGAUGUCAUAAAUGAUUGGGACCGUUCACCUAGACCCGAAAAUCAUUGAAGGGUAGUGAGGAAGGAGUUGGGCGUUUCCUAACUUCCAUUGCCUACACCAAGGGACGUUCCACUUACAUUGCACCCAUGAUAAUCACUAAAGUCGAAAAAAUAGCUAAAUAAUUUGAAUUUGCGGGCUCGGCUGUGACCAAUUGUUUAGUGUGCUUAUUUGGUGGCCAAAUGACAUCCGAGGAGCUCUUUACAUAUAAACAUAUCAAAUUUUGUCCUCAAAGUUAUGUACGCAUAGCUUGAGCAAAAGUUGUAUUUUGUAUAUAUGAAGCUCAUUUGAUAAUAUUUGUCACCAAACUAUGCAAGCACCUGAAACACUUGUUCAAUAAUGCCCCAAUUUUUUUUUCUAUUUGUUAUGAUUUUACUCUUUAGAGUGGGUAAAUUGCACUUCGGUGUAGCCACAAUUUUUCCUUCCCUUCCCGCAUCUCUGAUGGUAGCAAGCUCGAGGUACCGGUCAGGAGUUUUUAGCUGGAAGGAUGUGGCGAUCGUGACUCCAAGGUCAUAUCUAUCCAGGGGUACUAUUCUGGGGACGAAGCCAUUAGGAGUUGCUUUUGACCGUGAUCCUUUUGACCAGUUAUCGCAAUGCCCAAACUUUGCUACAUUAACAUAUAUGAAUUUGUAUGACAGUGGGAAGUAACAUCGAAUUAUGAAAAUGAUACAGGGAUGCAAAUAACAACCUUACUCCUACUUGUCUAAAAUUAUAUGUAUCAACAGGUAUAGUGUGUGUGAGGGGGGGAGGGGGAUCCUAUAAGCCUUGUACACUAGGUUUCUAGCACAUUUGGUGACCAGUCUUGACCAGAUGUGCAAGUUGAGAUCUAGUCUAGGCCUGAAGCUAGCGCUUCCAUUCAGUCAUCUUGGCCCUCCAAGCAGAAGUUGUCACAUAUUGAUCAGGUGCUAAUGUAUUUAUAAAUGGUUUGGGGUCAGAUGGACGCCUUCCUUUCGUAGACUUCCGUUCGUGAAAAGCUUGAUAAUUCCACUGUCAUGACAUGUCCUCCCUCCUUUAAAGGAGUUCCUGGGGUACCCGUCAUCCUAAUUUCACUUCUAGGAGUGACCCUCCGUGUGAGUUGGUUUGACAUUCGUGAAAGUUUCCUUCAGGCUUACACGGCUUGGCAUGGGCCCGAUCCACCUCUUUCCUACAACAUAUGACCUACCCGUAUACUACACCUUCACCCAUGGUGAGUAAACAACCCCUUGGUUGCCCGCUCCACCAGAUACGUGCUGCCAAAAGCAACUCCUGAUGUUCUGUAGCUGAAGUGAUGACAAGAUCUGAACCCGGUGGAUACUUGAGCAGAUAACUUGGAGAGGAGAAUAUAUCUUCUUUCUUAAAAUUUUGCAUUCGUUAUAUAUUUCUCUCAAAUUUACCUGUCGGCAAACAAAAAGAACAAUGAUAGAUCAAACUAUGUGCUUUUGGUUAGCAGCAUACGCGAAACACAGUUGAAGAACUGUAAGGAUGGUAUGCCAUGAGAUGCUUUCCUAGGUGAGUAAUUUAUGAUCUUGAGAUGCCCUUCACACACUUACCUAAGUUGACAACUAACUCUAUAAUGCCAUUAAGACUUGAACACUAUUGUUUUAUACUAUUUUCGACUUAAUAAUGAAUCUUGGUGCCAUGGUGAUAGUAUAUUUUAGACUCGGAUCAUGGCAUACACAAGGAUCAUCUAUCGAUUAUUAAUUAAGUGCUAAAUUAUGUGGUGGCAAUAUAUGGACCUAGCUGGCUUGAGAUUUGCUACAUGCAGGGGAGUACGACAACAUCAAUUAUAUCAUGCAUGAUGAGAUUGAGCUUACACAAACUUGUAUUAUCAUGCGUCUACUUUUGAAAUAUACAUAAAAAGGAAGUAAAAUUUGUAGGAAAAAUUAUUGGCUGGUCAAAUAAUUUCAUUCUUCUGAAAUGUAUGACCAUAUUAAUAAUGAAGUACUUGAUUAGACUAACGCUUCUAAUGAACCCUCUCAGGUAAACGCCAUGAUGGUGUUGCAUCUACCCUUAUAUGCUUAUGUCUGGAACACAUGCUCUGCUUUUGGAUUUAUCUCUAUAAAAAAUACACUAUUCGAGGAAUCGUCAGAGUUUUCCCCGGGUUUAAAGUUUAUACUGAAAUUUGUAAUUUUGAUAAGCAGUAUAAGGAUCGGUAAAAUGCCAUUCAAGAUAUGUAUUGACGGUAACGCGCAAGGCGCUCUCAUAGGUGUGUAAUUUAUGAUCUUAAGAUGCUCUAUGCGCUCGUGGUUGUUUGGUUAAAUAAAAUUAGCCAUGAGUUUAUGGAAAAUUAGUUGUUAGCUGGUUUUAGUAAAAUCCUUUUUGCUAGCAGUUUUGUGAAUAAUCAGUAUAGAAAAAAUAGUGUUUGGGAUUAGGAAACUGUAAAGAUGGACAUGCAUUUACUUGUUUGGAUAAAAUUCCAUAUUCCUCUCUCUGUGAGUUGUGGAAGGAGGAUGGCAAGAAAAAAGUUUGGGGCGUGAGGAAGUUAGUUAGUAUCCCGUAUUGCUAUCACGUUUAAAAAAAACAAAUAGUAGUUUUUCUACAAAUGUGAAAUCGUGAGUUUACUUGAAAAAAAGUUCUUCAUAUACGCGGGUUAGUUAGAAUAGCGAAGAAAGAUUCUAUUCGGUUAGACAGUUUUUCAAGUUUAUAGGAAUUGCGUUUUGUAUAUACUAUCUAUCCUAGCAACCCUAGCUAAGUUGUGAACUCCAUAACGCCAUCAAUACUUGAACGUACUACAGUUCUGUCUUGUUUGGACUCCCGACUGAAUCAUGGUAGUUGUACAUUUUUUACUCAGUGCAUGUCACACACACCAUGAUUAUCUACUGAUUGUUAAGUGCUAGGUAUGUGUUGGCAAGAUAUCCAACUAGUUGGCUUGAUAUUGGGUACAUGCAGGGGAGUACUCCAAAGUCAACUAUAUAUCAUGAUGGGAUCAAGCAUACAUAAACAGGUAUUAUCAUGCAUGUUCGUAUGAUAGUGCAGUAUCAGCUCUGAGAUCAUGAAUGGCAAACUGGAGGGGCUAAUUUAUGAGUGCGUGUGCUUAUAAAUAGGGUCUCUAGCUAGCUAGUACUCACAUCAACACAAGCACGAGAAAACACUUCCAUUUUUCUAGAUAGAGCUUUGAGCCGCAACAUCCGCCUUCCGCUCUUGCAAUGGCUUCCAGCUCCGUGCUUAAGAUGGCCGCCAUUUUCGUGCUGGCCGUAUUCGCCCGCCAGGCACUGAUGGCUACGCCGGCGAUGGCAGAAGGACUAGGUUACCGACACAACCUUUUGGAGAAGUAUGAUGAGACGCAAUGUCGCGGAUACGCCACAUGCAAUAUUGUAUGCUUCUACCAAGUUUUUCAAGUCUGCAUCAUCUACAGCCCUGUUGCAUUCUGCAACACUUGGGCGUUUGGGUUCUGCAAGGACAAGAGAUACUGAGGCAUAAAUAGCAGUGCAGCUCCUUUUGGGAUGCAUGCACAACUACACGAGCAACUCACCUCAUCAGUGUCAACUAUUAUUGUUCCUUCGUUAUUGGCGCUGUGCGUUGUAAGAGUCCUAAUAUGUUCCUCCCUUUAUUUCCAACUAUCAUGUAUCAGUGGCUUAACCAACUAUUUAAUUCCUAUAUUGUCUGUCAUCAUGGUACUUGUUCAACUAAAAAUCCCCCGUCGAAUACAAAUGUAUGUGUCGUGUGAUUAUAAAAUGGUUCCGCCACUGCAACAUUUUUCAGUC